This 58961-nucleotide long non-coding RNA is filed under the name Triticum aestivum (bread wheat). Its description in RNAcentral is "long non-coding RNA (TAES_LNC003541)". Lineage: Eukaryota; Viridiplantae; Streptophyta; Magnoliopsida; Poales; Poaceae. The record is from RNAcentral.
CAUGGGAGUGAAGAGGCAGAGGAUCACCGUGAGGAGUGAGUCGCCGGUCGACUAUGCCGCUGAAGCGAGGUACCAGCUCGAGGAGAUCUCCAAGCUCACCUCCAGCUAGAAGAAGAUGCAAGAGGAGUAUGCCUGCUCCCCUUGAGGAGACUCCCAAGCUCACCGCCGCCUGCUGGAAGAAGAUGCAAGAGUAUUGCCUGCCUGCUCCCCUUGAGGAGAUAUGAGACAUCCAGGCUCACCGCUUUGCUAGAUGAAGCCAUGUUUUGGCCCCAAGUUUCCUGAAGUGUAGUGCUGCUUCAGCUGUGUCUUUCUGCCGUGUCGCUCCUCAAAUGUAGUGAUCACUUAAAAACGCUUUUGCUGUCCUGUGUUAUAUAUGUAGACGUUCGGUUUGGAGGACAUCGGAGUAUUCUUCUGUUCUAUCUGUUUGAUCUGCAAAUUCCUUCUCCAUCAGACAAGCAUGAAUGCAGAUCCACUGCUAGCUGAUGUUAAACAUAUGUUCUGAACAAGUGUCCUCGUGGCUUAGUAUGCAAGAAUCACUGCACUAUUCUUUAUCUGUGUCCUGGGAAUGUAUAGGUGUAUAAACGUUGUGAAUCCACCUAUCUAGGUUUGAGCACCACAAGGUAGUCUCAGCCUUGCGCUGCUGGGCUUGCUGGGUUGGAUUUGGUUUGUUGGUUGCUGGGAAGGUUUGGGGGAGGAUCUUUUGACUUUGUAGGGGUUAACUACCUCGAUCUUCUCUAAACUGAACAAGCCCUGAAGAUGUAUACCAGACUAACAAUGUAUUCCAUGGAAAGCUACCAACUCAGAAGAUGCGGUUAAGAUGUUCAUCACUUCAGACUGGGUGUCAUGUGAAACAGGUUCCAUCAAUAAUGACUGGUUGCUGGGAGCCGUGAGAAGCCAGCCACUAAGAUCAGUCGCCAUCAUGAAUGGUGACCAGGCUAACAAAGUACUCUAUAGAUGUGAUGAAGAUGUUGCAUCAGUUGUAGGGUGUCAGGAACAUGGUUAGCUACUGACUCCAUGAAACUGGUGCUCCAUCACUAGUGACUGGUUGCUGGUAGCUUUGAGAAGCCACCAAACAACUGACCAGUCGCUGGUUCAUAAAAUUUGCUCCAGCAGGCUGGUUGCCACCAACAAGCUGCUACUGUAUCUACAAGACCAUGGCUGCAGACCCUUUGGUCUUAAGACAACGACAACAACAACAACAACAAUAACAGCAGGAAACAAGUGAUGAUCACCAGAACAACGAGUGAUGUUCAAUCUGUCAUAUGUUUGCUAUUUAGUUGUCUGUAGGAGCAAAUCUCCCACCAUGUCUUCAGUUUAGGAUAAUAAGUAAGUACUGUGAUGUGCAGUCUGUAAAACAUAAAAUGCAGUCUCACGAUGAGAUUUCUAGUUCCAAGCUAAGCUUAGGGCUGCUGAAGCCACACGCGGAGCACUUGCACCACCUGCAUGCAUGCGCGCGCCGGUCUAGAGCGAAGACGACGGGGGGUUCACGACGAUGUGCCUCAUCGGGUGGGCGACUUCGCCGCCUCCAGCAUGCGCCACAAACUCCGCCGGAGUCAGGAAGCUACCAUGGCACACACACACAAUCCUCACCUCCUCAGCUCUGCUGUACUGGUACAGGAAGCCGUCGAUCCUCUCGCCGUUGCGGAGCCCGCUGGUGUACACCACUGGCAUCUUCCGCACCAUGUCUGCCACGCUCCUAGUCCUAGUAGCUCUUGCCGCCGGCCAUUCCGAACCAUCCUUCUGCUCCCCUAUGGAGAUGCCAGGGGCUGCUGCUCUCACCGCCAAUGCUGAAGAUGAAGAGGUUGCCACGGCGCUGCUGUUUGCACCCACAGACGAGGGCAGAACAGCCGAUGACAGGCUCCGCCCUAGAGUGCCAGGAGUUCCUGUAAGAUUACACACCAACAUAUACCUUAGUAAUCAACAGAAGCAAAUCUGAUAGAAUCUGAUACUCCCUCCGUAAACUAAUAUUAGAGCGUUUAGAUCACUAUUUUAGUAAUCUAAACGCUCUUAUAUUAAUUUACAGAGGGAGUACAAGGUAGGAACAUUGAAAUAAAAACCAACUGCUACUAGUUACUACUAAACAACAGCAUGUAUAGAACAGUCCGAAUCUAUCAGUAGUUGCUUUACAACGAGGGUUGGUUAGCAUAGUCAAUUAUUGGUAUCCUUGCAGUUCCUGUUCAAGGACAUGUUCAAUAGGACAAAUACUGUAACUGCACGGUUUUGGUCCAGAGGGCAGGAUGAAUCUAAGCCACAACUUAAUUUGGUGGGUGUAUGUUGCUUGGCUUGGUAGUUCAGACGGCAAAGCCAAGUACCUACUACAUGAUUAAAAUGGCAUAAUUUUUGAAGGGUAACACACGGAGGUAAGCAUGCAAGUAGGAACGUAGCAUUGUCAGAUGAAAGUACCAUGCUUGCGAAUUGUGACACGGAAUUUGUUAUGUUAUGUAGUCUAGCAUAAGAAUGCAAUAUAGCAAAAUAUCUUGUGAUGCAGCCUUUCAAAGCUUAAUUAUACCUUUCAAAGCUGAAUUCCUUUUCGGACCUUGUGAUGCAGCUGGAGGCUGAUAUGGUGGAGGAAGCCCACUCAAGCGACGCCUCACAUUGGUACGGUUCAUUCUUUGUACUGUUGCCUUUCCUCCUGCCUGCUCACUCAUUUCAUCUGGGUUCUCUCCAACUUCCCCUACAGAAACGUUGGAAGAGUUCAUCCUGUCGAUACUCCUCUUCAUUUCGAGUUUGUUCAGAGUUUCUGCUAGCUUCCUCUUCCUCCACCCGUCCUCGAUGCCAGCAGGGAGUGAACUUGUCCUCACGAGGAUUCCUGCAGAAGAUAUUGUCAGACCAUCCUCGAAGUAAUGCACCCUCGCUUAAACUAAUACUCCCUCCGACCCAAAAUAAGUGUCGCAGUUUUGCACUAAGGUUAGUUCAACCUUAGUUCAAAACUGCGACACUUAUUAUGGAUCGGAGGGAGUAGUACUUUAUAUAUGGCAAGAUGAUGGGUUAAACUGGAUCCAUAUAUUAAGUAUCACAUGUCCUUACAAAAACACCCUUUACAAAAAAGAAAGAAAACACUUGAUAGUACUGAUGGUCAUUUCAGGCAAUACUGAAGUUCUUGACUGGACCAAUGUAUAAUUGACAUCUUACAUAAAUAGAUGUGGAGAUGACCCUAAUGCCCCAGUACACUAUAUUGGCGUGCUUCAACAAGUAAGGAACAACGAGAAACCAGCAGACUCCCAAUGAAAAUGCAUACUAGUAACGGUACUGGAAACCUUUUUUCUACCACGAAAUAACUUUGGCAUAUAAGAAUAAGACCCCACUUUCAUCAAUCAUGAUGUGGUUGGCUGGUUCAAAACUUGCCCUGUAUCAAUGGAACGAACUUUUUAACCACAUGUUCGGCAUAAUACUAAUAUAUCCGCUCCAAUAGACCCUUUUGAAAAUAUAUCUAAUUAAUCUUGAGGCAAAAUGGUUAUUUAGACCAAAAAUGAAUCAUGCAGACGUAAAUAUUAAAGGCAAUGAAACAAAGGGGAAUAUGUGCACCAUAUGGAAGCAUGUUUUGGGGGGAUCUGGUCUGGGAGAAGGGGAGGGUUGUUUGCCAACUUGCACUCUGGCAACCAAUCAUGUGUGAAUGUGUGAUGUCUCUUGCCGACGACAAGUGGUGGUCGUGACGGGGCUGCCGAAAUCCAUGCUCGGAAUAGCUUCCUUGGUGUACAGUGGACAUUUCUAGUGUUGCUCGGACAUCCGUGUUAACUUCGAUCGCCGAGUCUGACUCUCCGAAUCCAUGUGGAUUCAUGGAUUCGAAUGCUAUUUGCCAUGCCAAAAAGAUAUCAUGCCAAAAUCGGGCACCAUCUGAUACCAGAUCCAAGUAAAUAUUAGACUAGCUAAGCGAGCACGUAGGCUUGACACCGUAAAACAUGCUUGAUAUGGCAUCCUUGGUGUACCAAAUAAUCAAGGUACUACCGUGCAACAAACAUCUCCAGCAUUGUUGCCGUCAAAAAAAAAAAAAUCUCCAGCAUUGCUCGGACAUCCUUGCCAAACUUCGGUUGCCAAGUCAACACCCAUGUUGGAUCAGGCACCAAAAUCCAAUAUUGCGUUUGAGUCAGUAUUUUACACUAGGUAAGUGAGGGCAUAAUUGUACAAUGGAAUGUCGACCAGAACUAUGAGGCCGACGUCAUUUGACUUCUUCCUUGACGAUAGACCUCUAGGGUGUGUAGCUUCGAUUGUCGAGUAUUGCACCCCGAAUCCGUGUCGGAUUUGAGUGUUUUUGACACAUCCAACAAUGUCAUGCUGGAUAAGGCAUCAAGAUCCUCUACCAAGUCUUGAUAAGUGUUAGACUCGUAAGCGAUCAUAUGGCCAUCACAAGGUAUAACGAAAUAGCGAGCUUCAGAGCUAAUAUGCCCAACAAUGAUCAACUUGUUCCUCGAUGAUAUAGACCUCGACAGGUGUCCAAACUUCGAUUGUCAAAUCCGGCACCAUGUCCGAGUAAAUGUUAGAGUAGGUAAAGAACACAUCAGCGUCACAAGAUACAUAGAAAUGGCAAUCGACUACGAUGGUCGACGACGUUCGAGUUGUUCCUAAGCGAUAGACCUUGACGAGGUUCCGACGUUGGUUGCCGAAUAUGAGGGCCCAAAUUUGUGUGAGAUUUGAGUGUUAUUUAUGCCGUGUCCAACAAUAUCAUGCUGAAUAAGGCAGCGAAAUCAUGUAACAAGUUCAGAUAAAUGUUUGACCAGCUAUCAUGUGCUUCAUAAGAUAAAAAGAAAUGGCCAACAUUUGAUGCUACUCUGCCAAUCGAGCACAAUGACAUCGCAAGAAUCAGAACGACAAGCGUCGGAACUAGGAUUGCCAACGAGUUCCAACUUGUUCCUCGACAAUAGACCUUGACGGGUUUCCUACUUGAGUCGCCGAAUAUGACCAUCUCAUGUGCUUCACAAGAAACAAGAAAAUGGCAAUAGCUGAUGCUACUUUGCCAAACGAAAAAAAAUGCUAUACUAGGUAAGCAAGCACAUCGGCGAUGCAAGGUACACGGAAAUGGCGAGCAUCAGGACUAGGAUGGUUGAUAAUGUUUGACUUGUACCUCAGCCAUAGACCUCGACAGGUUCCAACUUUGGUUGCCAAACAAGGCAUCCCAAAUUUGUGUCAUACUUGAGUGUUAUUUGUCAUGUCAAACAAUGUCAUGACGAAUAAGGCACAACAACCGGGUACCAUCCCGGAAGAAUUCGCGUCAUACUUGAGUGUUAUUUCCCAUGUCUAACAAUAUCAUGCCAAAUAAGGCACCGGAACCGUGUACCACAUCCGACAAAAUGUUUGGCCAAGUAUGAUGUGCUUCGCAAGAUAUAGAGGAAUGGCAAGCAUUGAUGCCACUUUGCCAAACGAGUAAAACGUUACAUUAGGUAUACCCGUAAAGUGUCAUCAUAAGGUUUGCCAAAAUGACAAGCAUCCGCAGUAGGAUGGCCAAUGGUGUCCAACUUGUUCCUCGGUGAUAGACCUUGAUGGGUUUAGAACUUCCGUUGCCGAAUAUGACCGCCCGAAGUCGUGUUUCAUUUGAGCGUUAUUGGCCAUGUCCGACAAUAUCAUGCCGAAUAAGGCACAAGAACCGUGUACCACCUCCAAAGAGAUGUUUGACCAAGGAUCAUAUGCUUCGCAAGAUAUAGAGAAAUGACAAGCGUUCAUGCCACUUUGCCAAAUGAGUAAAUGUUACACCAGAUAAACAAGCACAUUGGCCUCGCAAGGUAUGCUGGAACAACAAACAUACGCACUAGGAUGGCCGAGGGGUUCGACUCGUUCCUCAGCGAUAGACCUUGAUGAGCUUUGAACUUCGAUUGCCAAAUAUGGCCGCUCGGAUUUGUAUUGAUGCCGUGUCCGACAAUAUCAUGCUGAGUAAGUAGCCGAAAUCGUGCACCACAUCCAGAUAAAUGUUUGAAUGGUCAUCAUGUGCUUCACAAGAUACAUUGAAAUGGCAGCCUUUGAUGCCACUCUCGAAAAGACUGAAAUGUUACACUAGGUAAGCAAACCUCACUGGCGUCACAAACUACACCAGAAUGGCGAGCAUCAGAACUAGGAUAGAGCAUGUCUUCGACUUGUUCACCACCAACAAACAUCGACGGGUGUCCAACUUUGAUUGUUGGCUAUGAUAUCCCAAAUCCGUGUAGGUCGAGGGCUAUUUGUCUUGUCCAACAAUGUCAUGUUGAGUAAGGCAUAGAAAUCAUGUACAACCUUUGAAUAAUAAAUGUUCGCAAAGCGCCAUGUGCUUCACAAGAUAGAAACAAAUGACAUGCAUUUAACCUAGUCUGCCCAAUGACACUGUACUUAGGGUUUGGUUCCCCGACGACGGUGAUGUGGUGGCGACGACAGUGCCGUGUAGAAUAAGAGUAAGGUUUCCCCAACUUGUUGGCGACGGCCUUGUUAGCGCCUUAGAGUAGGAUGGAGGAUUGUCUAGUCGCUGCUCUUCUGGUGUGUGGAGGAUCUGGUUCCUCUUCAUGCUUUGCAGGUUGUCGUUGAAGGCUUCCUCUGGCGGAGGUGGUCGUCAAAGGCGUCCUCUAGCGGAGGAGACGAUGCGCUUCGUCUCUUGGUCCACUGCCUCCUCCUCCAAACGAUGAAGUUCGGCCAGCUUCGGCUUCGCCCGGGAACUAAUGAGCUUAGGUUUCGCCAGACCCGUUUGUCCGAAUCUAGGUUGCUCGUCCAACUUUCUUCGUUGCAUUCUCCGAGGCGGCGAUAUGUUUUCGUCGACAUCUUCUGUCUCCACCGACAACUUCUUGGCCGCUACAUCAACAACAUUCCUUGGCUCCAGCGGUGUUUCGGAGGUACAAGUGCAGUAUGAAGCAUUGCUUAUGGCGCAUCUCUAGCGAGUGCAGGAGGAAGACGGUGUCAAUUUCCCCGGGAGCCAUGUGUAAGGUUUUGUUUCUUUAAGGAUGGUCCUGUAAGGGUUGGUCGACUUGAAUAAAUGGAUUUUGGCCACUUUACAGAAAAAACACACAAGCUAGUGAGCUAAUAAUUGCUUGUCUCGGCGGCCCUAGUACUUUCUAUCCCUAUAAUAGGCUAGAGAUGGCCGCCCAGGCAGCUACCACACACCCUGCUUAUACCUUGCUUUCCCAUCUUCCUACACUGGUACACAAAUCAUGGCAGAGUUCUAAUAGACCCUGGCACACAAAUAGUUGUGAACAGGACAAAUCCAUUAUACUAAUGUAGAAGUUGUCAAAUAAGCAAGCCAACCGAGCUGUAAGACAGCCAACAAGGAAACACAGAUGGUAACACAUCACCUUAGCUUGCUGAAUCCACCUAAGAUCCAGCGGCCCAGCUAUACUCCAGAGAGAAACAGGGGCGCCUUUUACUCCAUAUACUACUGGUGUACUUUAUUCACUGGCCAGGUGCAAUUGGCAAAUGGCAAUCCCUAAUUCCACUUUCCUAAUGUGCAUUGCAUGAUUGCAUCUAUGCUCAUAGAUUUUUCUUGGGAACAAUGAAACUAUUCAUGUCCUUUGUACCAGAUAAAAACAAUCAUAUCUGUUAAGCCUACCUAACACAAUAUAUUACCAGUGAGAUGUGUGCAUUUUUUUUUUUUUGGAAAUGAGAUGUAUGAAGGUACUAAUACUACCACAUUGCUGAGCUUGAGAAUUAAUUGAGCUAAUAAAAUACUACCACAUGACUAAUACAAAAUUAGUACCGUCACAUUGAAACAUAAGACAGAAAAGAAAAAGACGUACCUUCGCCGUCCGACGAGCCUGUGGACGGGGGGCUCACGCUCGCCCGCAGCUUCCCUACGCCGCCCGACGAGCCUGUGGACGGGGGGCUCAACCUCGCCCGUGGCAAAGCUGCGGGCUCUACCACGACGCCGUUCAGAGCGACACCACUCCCCUGCGGUUGGACCUCAGCGCCGCUCCUAGGCGAAGCGGCGUUGUUCCCCGCCUCCGCCUCCGCCAUAGGCGGCAGGGAGCUUGUCCUGGGGAGCGCGGGCGGCGCCGGCGCCACCUGCUGGAUGCAGGCGACGGACGAGGACCUGGCGAGCCCCUCGCCCCUCCUCCUCUCCUGCCCGAAUCGCCCCCCGAGCGACAGGCCGAGGCUAAGCUCGACCUCCUCGGCCUGCGAAUCCAGGCGCCGCGGCUUCUCCUCGCCGCGACCGGUCUCGCCUCCCCCGCCGACGCCGCGCAGCAGGUCCCUCGAGUAGGCCUCCAUCGCCGGCGAAGCCACGAACUGGUCACUGGACAGAGGAAGCUCCCGGACGGAGUCGUUGCUUGGGUCAGAGGAAGCUCGAUCCCGCGCUCGUCAGAGAAGAGCCUGCCGCCGCGGGGAGGGACAGUCAGGAACCAAGCACAAUUAAGGCCAGCGAAGCGAGAGAGAAACGAAAGCAUAGGAGGAGACUGGCGCGGCUUACGAGGAUUGCGCAGCCUUGGAGGGAGGUGGACGCCAUUGACGUAGAGCCGGUGAUGUGCUGUUCCGGUCUGCUCUGCUCGCCGCUGCCUCGCACGGAGAGGAGGAAGGAGACGCUCCGUCGCAACAAAAAUAAUUUGCUCGUCUCCGGGGCCCUCCGCCCUGCCCUUUUGCUUUCGAGGUGCGAGAGAGGGGGAGGGCUAGUUUGGGAAGCGCGGACACGCGACGAGACGCCGCCCUCCCGGCAGGACACAUGUCGUGACAGGGGGGACGCGUGGCGUGGCUCGCGGCGGAGCCGAGGCCGGAGCUGAAACGCUCGCGCUGGCGCCGGACGGAGCGCGUGGCCUGCGGGGCGUACGUGGAGUCACGGGCGCGAGCGGCUGCGGCUGCGCGGCGCCUCCGCGCUUCAGUUUCGCCUCCCUGACUUGUCUCGACCGAGCGGAGGGGGGGCCUUUUGGCCCGGUCUCCGGCGAAACUGCGUGCACGACCAACGGACGAUGACGAUGCAAGUCGCCGUGUCAGUCUAUCUAUAUCUAUCUAUCUAUCUAUCUAUCUCUAUCUAUAUCUGUCUAGCCGCUUAAAGGGCGACCGUUUUCUGUCUCAUGCUUGUUUUCGGCUACUUUUUAAUGCUUUUAAGUAGAAUAACACAAAACUUCGGGAUAAGAAACUAUUCUACUACACGGCAGGUACUUAGAGCAUGGAUCUGCACCCACUUGUCGAACAAGUGUCUGUGUCCACGUGUUGGAGAGAUGGCUUUGAUUAUGAUGGACGUUUUACUUUUACCAGCCAACUCCAGUUUUGAGUUUGACUGUAAAAGAUGAAAGAGCAAUAAAUAAAUAAAUGAAAACCAGCAUGCGAGACGAAUGUGUUGUUGCUAUCGAUGACCGAUAUCACAACCAUCGUACUCCUUUACCGCAUAAUUGAUACCAUGGAUUGAUGUUGACUGCAUAUGGUGCCCAUGCAAGUGGCAAAGAAUCUUCGCCGCCUCAAAAGAUAUUUGAUAUAUGUAAUUGGAUCGGAAAGAAAGUGACCAGUGACACCGACUUACACAAAUAAUAGUCUAGUGUUGAUUAUCUUCAAAUAAUGUGCAACUUGGGCUUAAGCAAAUAAUAGUCUAGCGCUAAUUAUAUUUUCAUACAACUGGCUAGCUUUAAGUGCUUCUAGUUAGAGUUGAAUAUACCUUCAAAUUGAGAGACUAUUCUACGCUGUAGAGGGCCUAGGCAUCUUUUUUUCUGAAAAAGUGUAGAUUUUUGUGUCGAGACUAUGUGAAGUAACUAUGAUGAAAAUCUCACGCCAGGUGACUGGAUCAACUCAAGUUUAACGUAUUCAUCGCGCCAUCAUUGACCAACACCAUGAGUCCAUGAUUACCAACUUUCAGUACUAACUAAAUCCUGAUUUAUUGGUCUCUUAAUAUUUAGUGUCAAAUUUUAAUCAUAGAUUUAACUAACAAAAUAAUAAUGCAUGUCAUCAAAAAUUGUAUUGUUGGAUUCGUACUUAAACAUAGUUUCCAAUAAUAAUAUCUUUGGUACAUGCAUUAAUAUUUUAUUAGUUAAAUUUAAGGUCAAUUUUUUGCCAAAAAUGCAAUGGGGACCAAUAAACUAGGACGAUGGUAGUACCACCUAAUCGACAUUGACGUUGACUCUAUAUAUCGUGACAAUGAAAGUAAUGAAGUAUGUCCACUGAGGGAGUUCUGGAUUAGGGGGUGUCCGGAUGACCGGACUAUAACCUUUGGCCGGACUCCUGGACUAUGAAGAUACAAGAUUGAAGACUUUGUCCCGUGUCCGGAUGGGACUUUCCUUGGCGUGAAAGGAAAGCUUGGCGAUACAGAUAUGUAGAUCUCCUCCCAUUGUAACCGACUCUGUGUAACCCUAGCCCUCUCCGGUGUCUAUAUAAACCGGAGGGUUUUAGUCCGUAGGACGAACAACAAUCAUACCAUAGGCUAGCUUCUAGGGUUUAGCCUCUCUGAUCUCGUGGUAGAUCUACUCUUGUACUACCCAUAUCAUCAAUAUUAAUCAAGCAGGAGUAGGGUUUUACCUCCAUCGAGAGGGCCCGAACCUGGGUAAAAACAUCGUGUCCCUUGUCUCCUGUUACCAUCCGCCUAGACGCAUAGUUCGGGACCCCCUACCCGAGAUCCGCCGGUUUUGACACCGACAUUGGUGCUUUCAUUGAGAGUUCCUCUAUGUCGUCAUCUUUAGGCCCGAUGGCUCCUCCGAUCAUCAACAACGAUGCGGUCCAGGGUGAGACUUCUCUCCCUGGACAGAUCUUCGUAUUCGGCGGCUUUGCACUGCGGGCCAAUUCGCUUGGCCAUCUGGAGCAGAUCGAAAGCUACGCCCCUAGCCAUCAGGUCAGAUUUGGAAGUUUGAACUACAGGGCUGACAUCCGCGGAGACUUGAUCUUUGACGGGUUCGAGCCACAGCCGAGCGCGCCACACUGUCACGAUGGGCAUGAUCUAGCUCUGCCGCCGAACAGUGCCCAGGAGGCCGCACCAGUGUCCGUCCGACCCUUAGCUCAGAGCCAACUGCGCCAAUCGAGGACGGGUGGUUGGACACCGCCUCGGGGGCUGCAAUCUCUACGGCGAUCGAGCCGAACACCAGCCUUGUCCUCUGCGAAGCCCGUGACUCAAGGUGCCGGACUCCUCCCCGAACUCCGAACCUUCCGCGCCCCUGCCGAUCGAAUCCGAUUGGAUGCCGAUCAUGGAGUUCGCCGACGCGGACAUCUCUCAACACUCGCCCUUCGGCGACAUUCUGAAUUCACUAAAGUCUCUCUCUUUAUCAGGAGAGCGCUGGUCGGACUAUGGUCAGCAAGGAUGGGAUGCGGAUGACGAAGAAAUUCAAAUCCCAUCCACCACCCACUUCGUAGCCACUGUCGAUGAUUUAACCGACUUGCUCGACUUCAACUCCGAAGACAUCGACAGUAUGGACGACGAUGUAGGAGACGAACAGGAACCAGCGCCUAUAGGGCACUGGACAACCACCUCAUCUCACGAUGUAUACAUGGUGGACACACCUAAAAGAAACGACGACGAUGAACAAAGGGACGCAACGAGGGAUCGUUCCCUCGAAAAGCAGUCAAAGCGGCGGCAUAAGCGCCGCUCCAAACCCCACCUCGACAGAGACAACAGCCAUACAGACCCAGCCACAGAGCAGGGCGAACCGGCGGACGACGAACAUGCCAUCGAGCAACCGUCCGAACAGGGCAACUUGGGUAAACAAACCAAACAACCCGUCUCCGGCGAAGAUAAUAGUCCGGACGACCUCACGCCUGACAAGUUGCUGGAGCAGAUGAACCUCCACAAAAGGCUCGUCGCCACUGCGCGUAGCCUGAAAAAGCAGAAGCGGAAGCUCAAAACAGCGGAAGAUGCACUCAGAAUUAGAUGGGGCAAAUCAGCACCGCAGACAAAUACGGCGACAGUCGCCACACAAAGAGCUAUCCGAAGCGAAAAUUAUUGCCGGAAUUUGAUGAGGAGGCCUUAGAGCCACCGCAAUCAAAAAAUAAGGAAGCCACCAGGUCGGAUAAACAACCCCAUGGCCAACAUAGAGCGGCAAAUGGCGCCGCACACAAGCCGGCACGCAAUCGGCAUAAGGAUUCGCAUCAAAAAGACGGCCCAACCAGGUCUAUCUACGGGCCAAGAAAGCAAGCUCUAGUAAGCAACGCAACACAACAAGUAUCCGAACAUCACGGCACACCCAAAUAUAGGGGUGCCACACCCCCCCUAUGUUUCACCGAUGAGGUGCUGGACCAUGAAUUUCCAGUGGGAUUGAAGCCAGUAAACAUAGAGGCAUACGACGGAACAACAGACCCUGGAGUCUGGAUUGAGGAUUAUAUCCUCCACAUACACAUGGCUAGAGGAGAUGACCUCCACGCCAUAAAAUACUUACCCCUCAAACUCAAAGGGCCAGCCCGGCAUUGGCUUAAAAGCCUUCCCGAAAACACCAUCGGAAGUUGGGAAGAGCUCGAGGAUGCUUUUCGGGCAAAUUUUCAAGGGACCCAUGUCCGACCUCCGGAUGCAGACGAUCUAAGUCAUAUAACUCAACAACCCGCAGAGUCAGCCCGGAAACUCUGGAACAUAUUUCUUACUAAAAGGAACCAUAUAGUCGACUGUCCGGACGCCGAAGCCUUAGCAGCUUUCAAACACAGCGUUCGAGACGAAUGGCUCGCCAGACACCUCGGCCAAGAGAAGCCAAGAACAAUGGCCGCAUUAACAAGCCUCAUGACCCGCUUUUGCGCAGGAGAGGAUAGCUGGUUGGCAAGAAGCAGUACCAGCGACCCAAGUACAUCCACGACCAAGGGAUGGAAACGGGAAACCGCGACGUAGUAAGGACCAGCGCCGGACCAAGGGAAACAACCCGAAGAGCACGGCAGUCAACGCCGGAUUCAAAAGCUCUCGGCAGAAUCAAAAAAAGCUGCCCCUCAAGGAUAACAGGGACGAGCUAUCUAACCUAAACAAAAUCUUGGACAAAAUAUGCCAAAUCCACAGUACUCCCGGGAAGCCUGCAAACCAUACCCACAGAGAUUGUUGGGUCUUCAAGCAAUCCGACAAACUCAACGUCGAACAUAAGGGGCUCAACAUACCAAGCGAGGACGAUGACGAACCCCACAAGCAGAGCACCGGAGAACAAAAGAAGUUCCCACAAGAAGUCAAAACAGUAAACUUAUGUAACGCCCCGGAUACAACUUUCCGUAUUUGUAACUCCAACUCUUGCCUUUUUCGGAGACGUGUUAUGUUAUUUUCCUUCGUGGUUGGGUUUUUGCCUUUCGUUUUGCAUUUUAUUCAUGUCUUGUAUUUCAUCUCAUAGCAUCAUGCACAUUGCAUCUGCAUGUUUUCAUAAAGCUUGCAUCCGUUCGUAGAUGCCACGUUCCCCCCUUGCCUUUGUUAUCCCUUUCGAGACCAAUCGUUCAUUUGUUGCCCGACCGUUUGAGCCUCUCUGCACAGCCACCGACCACCUCCGCAACCUAGUCCGAAAACUUCUCCCGGACCCGACCCGGGCUGUCAUGACCAAUGGGUCCGGAUCAUCUCCAAACAUCUACAAAACAUCUCCGUUUUUCUAUUUGGACUCCCUAGUAUUUUUUUUCUCGGUCCGUCUGUUUUGAUCCGAGGGACUAGGUCACCCCAAUCUAAGCCACAUGCUAUAUAUAUAUAUAUAUGUCCAAACCUAGUCUAGGCUUGUCCCAUCCACCAGAUCUCCUCACCCGCCGCCACCAGUCUCUCCAUCGGGAUCCAACCCGCAACCAGCUUCUCCCUCCCUCGUUUCUUCCAGCAGUCCAACCGCAUCCACCCAAAUCAAAUCUUGUCUUCCUUGAUUUCCGUGCCAACCCAAUCAACCACAGCCUUGCUCGUUCCAGAUCGAAGGAAUCGUCCCCAAGCAUCGUGGAUCCAAACCAGCCUCCUCCCCUUGAUCCAUGAGAUCCCGAGCUCCUCCAGUCUCGCGACCCCACUGCCCUCGGCGAACCUCGCCGCUGACGACCACCUUCAUCAGGCCGGACCCCGCACCCUCCUCCUUCCUUCUCUCUUCGUCCUUGCCUCCUCCUCACCUCUUCUCGUGUUGCAGCAGAUAGCCAUGGAUGGGCAUGGAGCUCCAAGCCGCUGCCCGAUCCCUUAACCUCUCCCGCUGCUCCAGCCUCCCGUCGGCUGUGACCCCGCCUACCUCCCGCGCUGCCGCCUGCUCACCGGAGCGCCCCCGCCAGCGAUCGAACCAGCAGCCACGUCACCGCUCCUCCUCGCCUAGCCUCUCCGGCGACCUGCAAGCCGUCCACGCGCCACCAGGCCAGAGCCCCUCACCGCCCUCUCUUUUCCCCCGCCUCCACCUUCUCUCUUUUCUCUGUCUCUCCCUCUCUCCCGCUCUGAACUCUCUCUGUCCCUUUCUUCAGGUACCUCAUCCCCGCCGCCAGAACGCAUGGGAGCCACCUCCUGCCGUCCCCCGGAUCCGGCGCCCCUUCGCCCGUCCUCGCCGGAUUGAGCAGCCGCGCCGCUGACUGCAUCACCCAGAUCCGCCGUCGCGCCGUCCCGGAGUCCCGCAGCCGGCCGCCAGCGCCUUCUUCCUCUGCUUCUGCUUCGAACAGGAGGAGGACGACCCCGCCUCGAGCGCACGCCUGUGCCCGAGCGAGGACCGCAUCUCUGUUGACCGCGGCCCUCUUCGUCUGGAGCGCCAGCGGCCGGGCGGCCCAGCGCCAGAUCGCUCGAGGACCAGCCUGCUCCAGCUCCUCUCCGGCACUCCAGAUCCGGCCUCUGGCCCGAUGUGAGCAGCUUCCCCCGCGCCCUGGGCAAGAUCUCUGUUUCGGCCCAUGUUGUAUUUUUUUCCUGUGGAGAUUUUAUCAUUUUUCCACAGAACCGUUGUUUUACAGAAAAACCCUCAAUAUUCAUGCAUUUAAUAACUCAUCAACCGUGCAUCGGAUUAAAAUGUUUUAAACUUAUAAAAUGCUUAUUUUUUUGUUUAGAUUAAUAAUAUGCCACUUUCAUCCAUGUUUAAAAUGUUUAACUUACUGUUUGCAUUAAAUUGUUUAAAUAACAUGCUAAAAUGAUUUAUUUCAUAACUAAAUAACCGUAGCUCGGAAUUAAAUGUUCUUUAUAUGUAAAUGGGGUGGAAAAAUGCCUAGUUUAACAUGGUGCACUUUAUUUCCCUGUUUAACAACAUUAAAACAGUACCAAAACUAAAAUAUGGACAUGAGGAAUUUCCGGAAUUGUUGUUUGUUACUUCCGGCCUCAUUUAAACUUGCCUAGAUAGGUAGUUUUCUCUUGCUUCACCUCUUGCCAUGUUUAACAACAUUUAAUAUUGUUAUGUACCUAAACGAGAGCAAACUAAAUAAAUGUUGUGAAGUUUUGUCAAUAUGCAACUCGUGGCAUAUUGAGCUCCACUUAACUUGUAGUAUUGUUUGUUGCACUUUACCAUGCCAUGAGUCUUUAAACCGGACAUGCAUCAUACUUGAUUGUGCAUCAUGCCAUGUUUGUUUGUUUCUUUCCGGUGUUGCUUCUUAGUUCCUAUUUCGUUGCGAUCGUGAGGAUUCGUUCAACUACGCUUGGUUCGGCUUCAUCUGUUCGUCUUCUUCAUGGACUCGUUCUUCUUCCUAGCGGGAUUUCAGGCAAGAUGACCGCUACCCUGGAUCUCACUACUAUCAUUGCUAUGCUAGUUGCUUCGUUCUAUCGCUUUGCUGCGCUACCUAUCACUUGUUCUUCAAGCCUUCCAAUUUGCCAUGUCAGCCUCUAACCUUUUCACCAUUCCUAGCACAUCGUUGUUUGGCUAUGUUACCGCUUUUGCUCAACCCCUCUUAUAGCGUUGUUAGUUGUAGGUGAAGUUGAAGAUUGCUCCAUGGUGGACAGGAUUAUGUUGGGAUAUCACAAUAUCUCUUAUAUUAUUAAUGCAUCUAUAUACUUGGUAAAGGGUGGAAGACUCAGCCUUAUGCCUGGUGUUUUGUUCCACUCUUGCCACCCUAGUUUCCGUCAUACCGAUGUUAUGUUUCCGGAUUUUGCGUUCCUUACGCGGUUGGGUGAUUUAUGGAACCCCCUUGACAGUUCGCUUUGAAUAAAACUCCUCCAGCAAGGCCCAACCUUGGUUUUACCAUUUGCCUCACCUAGCCCUUUUUUCCCUUGGGUUUCCGGAGCCCGAGGGUCAUCUUUAUUUUAGCCCCCCCGGGCCAGUGCUCCUUCGAGUGUUGGUCCGAACUGAGCUGCCUGCGGGGCCACCUUAGGGAAACUCGAAGUAUGGUUUUACUCGUAGUUAGUCUCAUCCGGUGUUGCCCUGAGAACGAGAUAUGUGCAGCUCCUAUCGGGAUUUGUUGGCGCAUCGGGCGGCUUUGCUGGUCUUGUUUUACCAUUGUCGAAAUGUCUUAUAAACCGGGAUUCUGAGUCUGAUCGGGUCUUCCUGGGAGAAGGUAUAUCCUUCGUUGAUCGUGAGAGCUUAUCAUGGGCUAAGUUGGGACACCCCUGCAGGGUAUAAACUUUCGAAAGCCGUGCCCGCGAUUAUGUGGCAGAUGGGAAUUUGUUAAUGUCCGGUUGUAGAUAACUUGACACCAGAUCCGAAUUAAAAUGCAUCAACCGCGUGUGUAGCCGUGAUGGUCUCUUUUCGGCGGAGUCCGGGAAGUGAACACGGUUUUGGGUUAUGUUUGACGUAAGUAGGAGUUCAGGAUCACCUCUUGAUCACUGCUAGCUUCACGACCGUUCCAUUGCUCCUCUUCUCGCUCUUAUUUGCGUAUGUUAGCCACCAUAUAUGCUUAGUCGCUGCUGCAACCUCACCACUUUACCCCUUCCUUUUCCCUUUAAGCUUUGCUAGUCUUGAUACCCAUGGUAAUGGGAUUGCUGAGUCCUCGUGGCUCACAGUUUACUACAGCAACAGUUGCAAGUACAGGUUAUGUGAUGAUCAUGUCGUGAGAGCGAUGUUUGCUUGUUUGGGAGUUCUUCUUCUCCUUCUUCUUCGAUCAGGGGAUAGGUUCCAGGUCGGCAGCCUGGGUAAGCAGGGUGGAUGUCGUUUGAGUUUCUGUUUGUGUUUCAUCCGUAGUCGGAUGCUGCUCUUAUGUAUGAUAUAUUGUUGUAUUCUUGUGUCAUUGAAUGUUUUGUAUGUAUCCCCAUCUAUUAUGUAAUGUUGAUGUAAUGAUAUCCACCUUGCAAAAGCGUUUCAAUAUGCGGUUCUAUCCUUGGUGGGACCUUCGAGUCUCUUUAGGAUAGUAUCGCAUAUUGGGCGUGACAAGUUGGUAAUCAGAGCCUCGACCGACCAUAGGAGCCCCCUUGAUUGUUGGCCGUUGUUGAGUCUAGAAGAAAACUAUUUUUGAGUCUUAGGAUUAUAUAUAUCGGAGAGUAGGAUUUUUUACUCCUCAGCCCCCUUCGUCGCUCUGGUGAGGUCUCCUAACGUAGAUGUUUUGACUUUCCUCUCCUCAAAUUUCACUAAACUUUUUUAGGAUCACGCGGGUAUCUUGGAACGUUCCGAUGGUUUUGUGACGAGAACAUUGUUCUUGGUGCCUCCUGUCUUUUAUGUGGUAGUGACCCAGGGAGUUAAGCUCCGAGGUGUUGUCGUCACAAUUUUAUCGUUGCAGUUCUGGAAUACCUGAGUUUUGCCGACAUCGAGAAUCUCUUUUAUGCAGUUGUUGGUGAGAUAACCUCGACGCCACCCAGUACUGGGGCUUCGAAAAGCAUCCGUUGUACGAGUUAUGGGUGAGAUAUAUAUUGCUUCCCCUGUAUCCCCAACACCAGAUUGCAUAACCAGAAAGUUUCAUGAGUUUUAUAGGUGGGAAUUCAAGUAGCUCCUAGAAUAUCUUUUCGACAGAUGCAUGAUAUGGGAUUGGGUAAAUCUCUAUCAUAUGUAUUUGUUCCAGCUUAUUUCUACAAGCCAAUCCUUUGUUUUGUUUUGAGUUGUGGUAUUCGAGUUGCUUCAUUGUCAAGUGUUGAUUCCAUACCUUUCAAGCGUUGUUCUCAUAUUUCUAUGGGAGUACUAAUCCUUCGUGAUCAUCGAGGUCGUCAUGUUAAUUCUUUUCCAACCGGUGCACUUCUCUUCGAGAUGAUCCCAUCAUUCUCCCCAUCCGCAAGAUCAAUUCUCAGUUCUUCGCAACGAUGUUUCUUCCUCCGUCCCAAGUUGCCUUUGUUUUUUUUCCUGCCCUCCCACCCUUUUUCUUCAAGGACUCAGAUUUCUUAAUCGGGUAUCCAUUUUAUUGAUGGGAAGACUCUCCAUUCUUUUCCGUCAAUGUUCUUAUCCGGUGAUUUCCCAUGAAGAUGCUCAACAGUUUCAAGUUCAUCAUUCUUCAUUCUCGUAUUCUUUUCCGCUGGAUCCAAUUCAAGCUUUCGGUGUUGAUCAUAUCCAUUUCCUCGUUUCAAAUGUUUUUCCAUGUCGGUGCACCUCUUAAUUGUUCACCUCUCUCUAUUCUUAUCCGGAGUGCUCAAGAUAUCUCAGAAGAAUCAAGUUCCCAUUCUUAAUCCGUUCGAGUUACUUCAAGGUUUUUCUCUCAUUCAAGCUAUUUAAUUCAACUGGUGCAACCUCUCUUUAAAAUUGUUCAACGAUGUUUUCUUUUGAGUGGGCCCUAACCCACAGGUCUUUCCCAGGAUCUUACCUGACUCUUCUAAUUUAUCCAGAGUAAUUCUCAAAUUCAUUUCCAAGUUUGAGGUAAGAAUGAAUUAUCAUAAGUCAUAUGUCCUUCUCCAAGAUCUUUCAAAUUCUUUUCAUCGUUGGUUCAACCUUUCUAAUUUUCUCCCGGAGUAUCUCAACAAUUCAUGGUGGUGUUUCACGUCGUCAUUCUUGGAUUUUGAAGAUCGAAGAAGAGUUCCUCUUAAAUCCUUACCCGUUCUUCCAGAGAUUCAUGGUUCUAGCUUCAUGCCAUCCUCAUAAUUAUUUUUGAUUGUGACAAUUAUUUUCUUACCAUCCGGAGCAUUUCAUGAGUUGUUUCCAUUUCUUUCCUCCGAAGGCCAUCAUGUCACAAUUCUUCAUUCUCAGCGUGUAGCUAUCGUUCUCCAAAUCUUACCGGUGCAUCGUUCAAAUAUCCUCUAAUAAGUUCAUGAUCUCCUCGUUCUCAUGUAUCUAAAUCCCCUCGAGCAUCUUCAUUCGUUCUACAAUUCUUCCCAGUGAACUAUGCCUUUGCUACUUUCAUUUUCAAUUCUUGCGGUGGUUCGUUCGAGAUUCCUCUUCCUUUGUUACCGUAUCAUUUCAUUCGUUGUUUCCAAUCCCACUGGUGGUUCCAUCAAUACCUUCUCAAGUUUGCGAUAUCUCUCUCUUAAUCCUUUCUACGAGAAUAAGUGGCAUGCCAAAUCCAUUGCUAGUCAUCAAUUUAAUUUGAUGAAGGAUAAGAAUACAAUAAAUCUUAUUCUUAUUUCCUCGAGGUGAUUCAAUUCUUUUCUUUCGAAGAUUGUUCAUGAUGAAGUAAUUCUCGUUUCUAGUGUUUCAUCUUUUCUUUUCCGGAGUUCCAAGUUUUCUCGGUUAUAUCGUCGCGAAGCUCCACCUAAAUUAUUGCAAGGCUUCACCUUGUGUUUUCAACUUCUCUUUCGUUUUAUCAUCUUUUUAUUACCAGAGUUCUUCAUAGAGGCUCUACAUGGUGGUUCGUCAAGGAUUCUUUUCAUUCUUCAAUUGUUCUUCAAGUUUUUCUCUCGGAGUCAUGAUUCGCCGAGCUAUACUCAAAAUUAAACAUGGCGCUCAACACAUGUUUUGUUUUGAUGCGUUCAAGUAUUCUUCAUCUUGCAUUCCAAAGUGCAAUUCUUUCUACCUUAUCUUUUGAGGUGGUGUUAUGUCACUCUUGACAAUUUCCUUCAUGGUUCAUGAUUCAUAUUGUUGUCAAGAAUGAGGUAUUUUAAAUCCAUCAAUCUCUUCAUUGGAGUUAUCUUGGUAUAGAUUUCACCUAAAGCCUUUCCUAAGGAAUGUUGCUAUUGUGCUGCUUAUCAAUGAUCCAAGUUUUCUCCUAUCCUCUCGGCGAAAGCAGUUUUCAUCUCUUCGUUGAUCUCAAGCAAGCAAUUGUUUCAGUUAGUGGCCGGUUGUCACCUCAUAAUUUUGAGAUGUUUUCCAUAAGCCCACUACAAGCUUAUUCGUUUCGUUGUUGGUUUUCCAUCAACUCCAUUCUAACCUUCUUGGAAGGGUGAUUUCCAAGAUCAUUUGUGGUAGAAGUUGGCAUUUCCUUCUCCAUUAUGUUAUUCCAAUGAUCUAUCUUCUAUUCUUUCUUCCGGAGGCAUUGUGAUGUUGCUUUCUUCACUCAUCAUCUCGAAUUGAGGAUUGUGUUCUUUCCAUGCUUGUCCAUUUAACCGGAGUGUUGUGUCAUCUCUUCAAGUUCUUUUAAUCUUUUCCUUCUUCUUUCAGUCGGAGUGCUGCCCAAAUUAUAUCAAUCUUAUUCCUUCUCUAUCUAGUUUUAACCGGAGUGGUUCCAAUAUCUAUCUUAUCACUAAACCUCUUGGUUCUCGCCGUAUCCCGUGUUCCUUUUUUCUAACAGAGUGUUUUCAACUUUGUUCAUAUUUGUUGUUUUUUCUUUCUUUCAUUUUGCUCAAACUCUCAAGGUUUAUGGUGUCACUCGUUUGUCGAAGAAGCAACUUAGUUUACCUCUUAUCUUCCUCUUCCGUUUCCCUCCGGUGCCAUCCUAGAUCUCGGGACGAGAUCCUCUCGUAGUGGUGGAGUGUUGUAACGCCCCGGAUACAACUUUUCGUAUUCGUAACUCCAACUCUUGCCUUUUCCGGAGACGUGUUAUGUUAUUUUCCUUCGUGGUUGGGUUUUUGUCUUUCGUUUUGCAUUUUAUUCAUGUCUUGUAUUUCAUCUCAUAGCAUCAUGCGCAUUGCAUCUGCAUGUUUUCAUAAAGCUUGCAUCCGUGCGUAGAUGCCACGUUCCCCCCUUGCCUUUGUUAUCCCUUUCGAGACCAAUCGUUCAUUUGUUGCCCGACCGUUUGAGCCUCUCUGCACAGCCACCGACCACCUCCGCAACCUAGUCCGAAAACUUCUCCCGGACCCGACCCGGGCUGUCAUGACCAAUGGGUCCGGAUCAUCUCCAAACAUCUACAAAACAUCUCCGUUUUUCUAUUUGGACUCCCUAGUAUUUUUUUCUUGGUCCGUCUGUUUUGAUCCGAGGGACUAGGUCACCCCAAUCUAAGCCACAUGCUAUAUAUAUAUAUGUCCAAACCUAGUCUAGGCUUGUCCCAUCCACCAGAUCUCCUCACCCGCCGCCACCAGUCUCUCCAUCGGGAUCCAACCCGCAACCAGCUUCUCCCUCCCUCGUUUCUUCCAGCAGUCCAACCGCAUCCACCCAAAUCAAAUCUUGUCUUCCUUGAUUUCCGUGCCAACCCAAUCAACCACAGCCUUGCUCGUUCCAGAUCGAAGGAAUCGUCCCCAAGCAUCGUGGAUCCAAACCAGCCUCCUCCCCUUGAUCCAUGAGAUCCCGAGCUCCUCCAGUCUCGCGACCCCACUGCCCUCGGUGAACCUCGCCGCUGACGACCACCUUCAUCAGGCCGGACCCCGCACCCUCCUCCUUCCUUCUCUCUUCGUCCUUGCCUCCUCCUCACCUCUUCUCGUGUUGCAGCAGAUAGCCAUGGAUGGGCAUGGAGCUCCAAGCCGCUGCCCGAUCCCUUAACCUCUCCCGCUGCUCCAGCCUCCCGUCGGCUGUGACCCCGCCUACCUCCCGCGCUGCCGCCUGCUCACCGGAGCGCCCCCGUCAGCGAUCGAACCAGCAGCCACGUCACCGCUCCUCCUCGCCUAGCCUCUCCGGCGACCUGCAAGCCGUCCACGCGCCACCAGGCCAGAGCCCCUCACCGCCCUCUCUUUUUCCCCCGCCUCCACCUUCUCUCUUUUCUCUGUCUCUCCCUCUCUCCCGCUCUGAACUCUCUCUGUCCCUUUCUUCAGGUACCUCAUCCCCGCCGCCAGAACGCAUGGGAGCCACCUCCUGCCGUCGCCCGGAUCCGGCGCCCCUUCGCCCGUCCUCGCCGGAUUGAGCAGCCGCGCCGCUGACUGCAUCACCCAGAUCCGCCGUCGCGCCGUCCCGGAGUCCCGCAGCCGGCCGCCAGCGCCUUCUUCCUCUGCUUCUGCUUCGAACAGGAGGAGGACGACCCUGCCUCGAGCGCACGCCUGUGCCCGAGCGAGGACCGCAUCUCCGUUGACCGCGGCCCUCUUCGUCUGGAGCGCCAGCGGCCGGGCGGCCCAGCGCCAGAUCGCUCCAGGACCAGCCUGCUCCAGCUCCUCUCCGGCACUCCAGAUCCGGCCUCUGGCCCGAUGUGAGCAGCUUCCCCCGCGCCCUGGGCAAGAUCUCUGUUUCGGCCCAUGUUGUAUUUUUUUCCUGUGGAGAUUUUAUCAUUUUUCCACAGAACCGUUGUUUUACAGAAAAACCCUCAAUAUUCAUGCAUUUAAUAACUCAUCAACCGUGCAUCGGAUUAAAAUGUUUUAAACUUAUAAAAUGCUUAUUUUUUUGUUUAGAUUAAUAAUAUGCCACUUUCAUCCAUGUUUAAAAUGUUUAACUUACUGUUUGCAUUAAAUUGUUUAAAUAACAUGCUAAAAUGAUUUAUUUCAUAACUAAAUAACCGUAGCUCGGAAUUAAAUGUUCUUUAUAUGUAAAUGGGGUGGAAAAAUGCCUAGUUUAACAUGGUGCACUUUAUUUCCCUGUUUAACAACAUUAAAACAGUACCAAAACUAAAAUAUGGACAUGAGGAAUUUCCGGAAUUGUUGUUUGUUACUUCCGGCCUCAUUUAAACUUGCCUAGAUAGGUAGUUUUCUCUUGCUUCACCUCUUGCCAUGUUUAACAACAUUUAAUAUUGUUAUGUACCUAAACGAGAGCAAACUAAAUAAAUGUUGUGAAGUUUUGUCAAUAUGCAACUCGUGGCAUAUUGAGCUCCACUUAACUUGUAGUAUUGUUUGUUGCACUUUACCAUGCCAUGAGUCUUUAAACCGGACAUGCAUCAUACUUGAUUGUGCAUCAUGCCAUGUUUGUUUGUUUCUUUCCGGUGUUGCUUCUUAGUUCCUAUUUCGUUGCGAUCGUGAGGAUUCGUUCAACUACGCUUGGUUCGGCUUCAUCCGUUCGUCUUCUUCAUGGACUCGUUCUUCUUCCUAGCGGGAUUUCAGGCAAGAUGACCGCUACCCUGGAUCUCACUACUAUCAUUGCUAUGCUAGUUGCUUCGUUCUAUCGCUUUGCUGCGCUACCUAUCACUUGUUCUUCAAGCCUUCCAAUUUGCCAUGUCAGCCUCUAACCUUUUCACCAUUCCUAGCACAUCGUUGUUUGGCUAUGUUACCGCUUUUGCUCAACCCCUCUUAUAGCGUUGUUAGUUGUAGGUGAAGUUGAAGAUUGCUCCAUGGUGGACAUGAUUAUGUUGGGAUAUCACAAUAUCUCUUAUAUUAUUAAUGCAUCUAUAUACUUGGUAAAGGGUGGAAGACUCAGCCUUAUGCCUGGUGUUUUGUUCCACUCUUGCCACCCUAGUUUCCGUCAUACCGGUGUUAUGUUCCCGGAUUUUGUGUUCCUUACGCGGUUGGGUGAUUUAUGGAACCCCCUUGACAGUUCGCUUUGAAUAAAACUCCUCCAGCAAGGCCCAACCUUGGUUUUACCAUUUGCCUCACCUAGCCCUUUUUUUCCCUUGGGUUUCCGGAGCCCGAGGGUCAUCUUUAUUUUAGCCCCCCCGGGCCAGUGCUCCUUCGAGUGUUGGUCCGAACUGAGCUGCCUGCGGGGCCACCUUAGGGAAACUCGAAGUAUGGUUUUACUCGUAGUUAGUCUCAUCCGGUGUUGCCCUGAGAACGAGAUAUGUGCAGCUCCUAUCGGGAUUUGUUGGCGCAUCAGGCGGCUUUGCUGGUCUUGUUUUACCAUUGUCGAAAUGUCUUAUAAACCGGGAUUCUGAGUCUGAUCGGGUCUUCCUGGGAGAAGGUAUAUCCUUCGUUGAUCGCGAGAGCUUAUCAUGGGCUAAGUUGGGACACCCCUGCAGGGUAUAAACUUUCGAAAGCCGUGCCCGCGGUUAUGUGGCAGAUGGGAAUUUGUUAAUGUCCGGUUGUAGAUAACUUGACACCAGAUCCGAAUUAAAACGCAUCAACCGCGUGUGUAGCCGUGAUGGUCUCUUUUCGGCGGAGUCCGGGAAGUGAACACGGUUUUGGGUUAUGUUUGACGUAAGUAGGAGUUCAGGAUCACCUCUUGAUCAUUGCUAGCUUCACGACCGUUCCAUUGCUCCUCUUCUCGCUCUUAUUUGCGUAUGUUAGCCACCAUAUAUGCUUAGUCGCUGCUGCAACCUCACCACUUUACCCCUUCCUUUUCCCUUUAAGCUUUGCUAGUCUUGAUACCCAUGGUAAUGGGAUUGCUGAGUCCUCGUGGCUCACAGUUUACUACAGCAACAGUUGCAAGUACAGGUUAUGCGAUGAUCAUGUCGUGAGAGCGAUGUUUGCUUGUUUGGGAGUUCUUCUUCUCCUUCUUCUUCGAUCAGGGGAUAGGUUCCAGGUCGGCAGCCUGGGUAAGCAGGGUGGAUGUCGUUUGAGUUUCUGUUUGUGUUUCAUCCGUAGUCGGAUGCUGCUCUUAUGUAUGAUAUAUUGUUGUAUUCUUGUGUCAUUGAAUGUUUUGUAUGUAUCCCCAUCUAUUAUGUAAUGUUGAUGUAAUGAUAUCCACCUUGCAAAAGCGUUUCAAUAUGCGGUUCUAUCCUUGGUGGGACCUUCGAGUCUCUUUAGGAUAGUAUCGCAUAUUGGGCGUGACAAGUUGGUAAUCAGAGCCUCGACCGACCAUAGGAGCCCCCUUGAUUGUUGGCCGUUGUUGAGUCUAGAAGAAAACUAUUUUUGAGUCUUAGGAUUAUAUAUAUCGGAGAGUAGGAUUUUUUACUCCUCAGCCCCCUUCGUCGCUCUGGUGAGGUCUCCUAACGUAGAUGUUUUGACUUUCCUCUCCUCAAAUUUCACUAAAUUUUUUUAGGAUCACGCGGGUAUCUUGGAACGUUCCGAUGGUUUUGUGACGAGAACAUUGUUCUUGGUGCCUCCUGUCUUUUAUGUGGCAGUGACCCAGGGAGUUAAGCUCCGAGGUGUUGUCGUCACAAUUUUAUCGUUGGAGUUCUGGAAUACCUGAGUUUUGCCGACAUCGAGAAUCUCUUUUAUGCAGUUGUUGGUGAGAUAACCUCGACGCCACCCAGUACUGGGGCUUCGAAAAGCAUCCGUUGUAUGAGUUAUGGGUGAGAUAUAUAUUGCUUCCCCUGUAUCCCCAACACCAGAUUGCAUAACCAGAAAGUUUCAUGAGUUUUAUAGGUGGGAAUUCAAGUAGCUCCUAGAAUAUCUUUUCGACAGAUGCAUGAUAUGGGAUUGGGUAAAUCUCUAUCAUAUGUAUUUGUUCCAGCUUAUUUCUACAAGCCAAUCCUUUGUUUUGUUUUGAGUUGUGGUAUUCGAGUUGCUUCAUUGUCAAGUGUUGAUUCCAUACCUUUCAAGCGUUGUUCUCAUAUUUCUAUGGGAGUACUAAUCCUUCAUGAUCAUCGAGGUCGUCAUGUUAAUUCUUUUCCAACCGGUGCACUUCUCUUCGAGAUGAUCCCAUCAUUCUCCCCAUCCGCAAGAUCAAUUCUCAGUUCUUCGCAACGAUGUUUCUUCCUCCGUCCCAAGUUGCCUUUGUUUUUUUUCCUGCCCUCCCACCCUUUUUCUUCAAGGACUCAGAUUUCUUAAUCGGGUAUCCAUUUUAUUGAUGGGAAGACUCUCCAUUCUUUUCCGUCAAUGUUCUUAUCCGGUGAUUUCCCAUGAAGAUGCUCAACAGUUUCAAGUUCAUCAUUCUUCAUUCUCGUAUUCUUUUCCGCUGGAUCCAAUUCAAGCUUUCGGUGUUGAUCAUAUCCAUUUCCUCAUUUCAAAUGUUUUUCCAUGUCGGUGCACCUCUUAAUUGUUCACCUCUCUCUAUUCUUAUCCGGAGUGCUCAAGAUAUCUCAGAAGAAUCAAGUUCCCAUUCUUAAUCCGUUCGAGUUACUUCAAGGUUUUCUCUCUCAUUCAAGCUAUUUAAUUCAACCGGUGCAACCUCUCUUUAAAAUUGUUCAACGAUGUUUUCUUUUGAGUGGGCCCUAACCCACAGGUCUUUCCCAGGAUCUUACCUGACUCUUCUAAUUUAUCCAGAGUAAUUCUCAAAUUCAUUUCCAAGUUUGAGGUAAGAAUGGAUUAUCAUAAGUCAUAUGUCCUUCUCCAAGAUCUUUCAAAUUCUUUUCAUCGUUGGUUCAACCUUUCUAAUUUUCUCCCGGAGUAUCUCAACAAUUCAUGGUGGUGUUUCACGUCGUCAUUCUUGGAUUUUGAAGAUCGAAGAAGAGUUCCUCUUAAAUCCUUACCCAUUCUUCCAGAGAUUCAUGGUUCUAGCUUCAUGCCAUCCUCAUAAUUAUUUUUGAUUGUGACAAUUAUUUUCUUACCAUCCGGAGCAUUUCAUGAGUUGUUUCCAUUUCUUUCCUCCGAAGGCCAUCAUGUCACAAUUCUUCAUUCUCAGCGUGUAGCUAUCGUUCUCCAAAUCUUACCGGUGCAUCGUUCAAAUAUCCUCUAAUAAGUUCAUGAUCUCCUCGUUCUCAUGUAUCUAAAUCCCCUCGAGCAUCUUCAUUCGUUCUACAAUUCUUCCCAGUGAACUAUGCCUUUGCUACUUUCAUUUUCAAUUCUUGCGGUGGUUCGUUCGAGAUUCCUCUUCCUUUGUUACCGUAUCAUUUCAUUCGUUGUUUCCAAUCCCACUGGUGGUUCCAUCAAUACCUUCUCAAGUUUGCGAUAUCUCUCUCUUAAUCCUUUCUACGAGAAUAAGUGGCAUGCCAAAUCCAUUGCUAGUCAUCAAUUUAAUUUGAUGAAGGAUAAGAAUACAAUAAAUCUUAUUCUUAUUUCCUCGAGGUGAUUCAAUUCUUUUCUUUCGAAGAUUGUUCAUGAUGAAGUAAUUCUCGUUUCUAGUGUUUCAUCUUUUCUUUUCCGGAGUUCCAAGUUUUCUCGGUUAUAUCGUCGCGAAGCUCCACCUAAAUUAUUGCAAGGCUUCACCUUGUGUUUUCAACUUCUCUUUCGUUUUAUCAUCUUUUUAUUACUAGAGUUCUUCAUAGAGGCUCUACAUGGUGGUUCGUCAAGGAUUCUUUUCAUUCUUCAAUUGUUCUUCAAGUUUUUCUCUCGGAGUCAUGAUUCGCCGAGCUAUACUCAAAAUUAAACAUGGCGCUCAACACAUGUUUUGUUUUGAUGCGUUCAAGUAUUCUUCAUCUUGCAUUCCAAAGUGCAAUUCUUUCUACCUUAUCUUUUGAGGUGGUGUUAUGUCACUCUUGACAAUUUCCUUCAUGGUUCAUGAUUCAUAUUGUUGUCAAGAAUGAGGUAUUUUAAAUCCAUCAAUCUCUUCAUUGGAGUUAUCUUGGUAUAGAUUUCACCUAAAGCCUUUCCUAAGGAAUGUUGCUAUUGUGCGGCUUAUCAAUGAUCCAAGUUUUCUCCUAUCCUCUCGGCGAAAGCAGUUUUCAUCUCUUCGUUGAUCUCAAGCAAGCAAUUGUUUCAGUUAGUGGCCGGUUGUCACCUCAUAAUUUUGAGAUGUUUUCCAUAAGCCCACUACAAGCUUAUUCGUUUCAUUGUUGGUUUUCCAUCAACUCCAUUCGAACCUUCUUGGAAGGGUGCUUUCCAAGAUCAUUUGUGGUAGAAGUUGGCAUUUCCUUCUCCAUUAUGUUAUUCCAAUGAUCUAUCUUCUAUUCUUUCUUCCGGAGGCAUUGUGAUGUUGCUUUCUUCACUCAUCAUCUCGAAUUGAGGAUUGUGUUCUUUCCAUGCUUGUCCAUUUAACCGGAGUGUUGUGUCAUCUCUUCAAGCUCUUUUAAUCUUUUCCUUCUUCUUUCAGUCGGAGUGCUGCCCAAAUUAUAUCAAUCUUAUUCCUUCUCUAUCUAGUUUUAACCGGAGUGGUUCCAAUAUCUAUCUUAUCACUAAACCUCUUGGUUCUCGCCGUAUCCCGUGUUCCUUUUUUCUAACAGAGUGUUUUCAACUUUGUUCAUAUUUGUUGUUUUUUCUUUCUUUCAUUUUGCUCAAACUCUCAAGGUUUAUGGUGUCACUCGUUUGUCGAAGAAGCAACUUAGUUUACCUCUUAUCUUCCUCUUCCGUUUCCCUCCGGUGCCAUCCUAGAUCUCGGGACGAGAUCCUCUCGUAGUGGUGGAGUGUUGUAACGCCCCGGAUACAACUUUUCGUAUUCGUAACUCCAACUCUUGCCUUUUCCGGAGAUGUGUUAUGUUAUUUUCCUUCGUGGUUGGGUUUUUGUCUUUCGUUUUGCAUUUUAUUCAUGUCUUGUAUUUCAUCUCAUAGCAUCAUGCGCAUUGCAUCUGCAUGUUUUCAUAAAGCUUGCAUCCGUUCAUAGUUGCCACGUUCCCCCCUUGCCUUUGUUAUCCCUUUCGAGACCAACCGUUCAUUUGUUGCCCGACCGUUUGAGCCUCUCUGCACAGCCACUGACCACCUCCGUAACCUAGUCCGAAAACUUCUCCCGGAACCGACCUGGGCUGUCAUGACCAAUGGGUCCGGAUCAUCUCCAAACAUCUACAAAACAUCUCCGUUUUUCUAUUUGGACUCCCUAGUAUUUUUUUCUCGGUCCGUCUGUUUUGAUCCGAGGGACUAGGUCACCCCAAUCUAAGCCACAUGCUAUAUAUAUGUCUAAACCUAGUCUAGGCUUGUCCCAUCCACCAAAUCUCCUCACCCGCCGCCACCAGUCUCUCCAUCGGGAUCCAACACGCAACCAGCUUCUCCCUCCCUCGUUUCUUCCAGCAGUCCAACCGCAUCCACCCAAAUCAAAUCUUGUCUUCCUUGAUUUCCGUGCCAACCCAAUCACCCACAGCCUCGCUCGUUCCAGAUCGAAGGAAUCAUCCCCAAGCAUCGUGGAUCCAAACCAGCCUCCUCCCCUCGAUCCAUGAGAUCCCGAGCUCCUCUAGUCUCGCGACCCCACUGCCCUCGACGAACCUCGCCGCCGACGACCACCUUCAUCAGGCCGGACCCCGCACCCUCCUCCUUCCUUCUCUCUUCGUCCUUGCCUCCUCCUCACCUCUUCUCGUGUUGCAACAGAUAGCCAUGGAUGGGCAUGGAGCUCCAAGCCGCUGCCCGAUCCCUCAACCUCUCCCGCUGCUCCAGCCUCCCGUCGGCUGUGACCCUGCCUACCUCCCGCACUGCCGCCUGCUCACCGGAGCGCCCCCGCCAGCAAUCGAACCAGCAGCCACAUCACCGCUCCUCCUCGCCUAGCCUCUCCGGCGACUUGCAAGCCGUCCACGUGCCACCAGGCCAGAGCCCCUCACCGCCCUCUCUUUUUCCCCUGCCUCCACCUUCUCUCUUUUCUCUGUCUCUCCCUCUCUCCCGCUCUGAACUCUCUCUGUCCCUUUCUUCAGGUACCUCAUCCCUGCCGCCAGAACGCACGGGAGCCACCUCCUGCCAUCGCCCGGAUCCGGCGCCCCUUCGCCCGUCCUCGCCGGAUUGAGCAGCUGCGUCGUUGACUGCAUCGUCCAGAUCCGCCGUCGCGCCGUCCCGGAGUCCCGCAGCCGGCCGCCAGCGCCUUCUUCCUCUGCUUCUGCUUCGAACAGGAGGAGGACGACCCUGCCUCGAGCGCACGCCUGUGCCCGAGCGAGGACCGCAUCUCCGUUGACCGCGGCCCUCUUCGUCUGGAGCGCCAGCGACCGGGCGGCCCAGCGCCAGAUUGCUCCAGGCCCAGCCUGCUCCAGCUCCUCUCCAGCACUCCAGAUCCAGCCUCUGGCCCGAUGUGAGCAGCUUCCCCUGCGCCCUGGGCCAGAUCUCUGUUUCGGCCCAUGUUGUAUUUUUUCCCGUGGCGAUUUUAUCAUUUUUCCACAGAACCAUUGUUUUACAGAAAAACCCUCAAUAUUCAUGCAUUUAAUAACUCAUCAACCGUGCAUCGGAUUAAAAUGUUUUAAACUUAUAAAAUGCUUAGAUUUUUGUGUAGAUUAAUAAUAUGCCACUUUCAUCCAUGUUUAAAAUAUUUAACUUGCUGUUUGCAUUAAAUUGUUUAAAUAACAUGCUAAAAUGAUUUAUUUCAUAACUAAAUAACCGUAGCUCGGAAUUAAAUGUUCUUUAUAUGUAAAUGGGGUGAAACAAUGCCUAGUUUAACAUGGUGCACUUUAUUUCCCUGUUUAACAACAUUAAAAUAUUGUUUAGGCAGAACAGUACCAAAACUAAAAUAUGGACAUGAGGAAUUCUCGGAAUUGUUGUUUGUUACUUCCGGCCUCAUUUAAACUUGCCUAGAUAGGUAGUUUUCUCUUGCUUCACCUCUUGCCAUGUUUAACAACAUUUAAUAUUGUUGUGUACCUAAACGAGAGCAAACUAAAUAAAUAUUGUGAAGUUUUGUCAAUAUGCAACUCGUGGCAUAUUGAGCUCCACUUAACUUGUAGUAUUGUUUGUUGCACUUUGCCAUGCCAUGAGUCUUUAAACCGGACAUGCAUCAUACUUGAUUGUGCAUCAUGCCAUGUUUGUUUGUUUCUUUCCGGUGUUGCUUCUUAGUUCCUAUUUCGUUGCGAUCGUGAGGAUUCGUUCAACUACGCUUGGUUCGGCUUCAUCCGUUUGUCUUCUUCAUGGACUCGUGCUUCUUCCUAGCGGGAUUUCAGGCAAGAUGACCGCUACCCUGGAUCUCACUACUAUCAUUGCUAUGCUAGUUGCUUCGUUCUAUCGCUUUGCUGCGCUACCUAUCACUUGUUCUUCAAGCCUCCCAAUUUGCCAUGUCAGCCUCUAACCUUUUCACCAUUCCUAGCAAAUCGUUGUUUGGCUAUGUUACCGCUUUUGCUCAGCCCCUCUUAUAGCGUUGUUAGUUGUAGGUGAAGUUGAAGAUUGCUCCAUGGUGGACAGGAUUAUGUUGGGAUAUCAUAAUAUCUCUUAUAUUAUUAAUGCAUCUAUAUACUUGGUAAAGGGUGGAAGACUCGGCCUUAUGCCUGGUGUUUUGUUCCACUCUUGCCGCCCUAGUUUCCGUCAUACCGGUGUUAUGUUCCCGGAUUUUACGUUCCUUACGCGGUUGGGUGAUUUAUGGGACCCCUUGACAGUUCACUUUGAAUAAAACUCCUCCAGCAAGGCCCAACCUUGGUUUUACCAUUUGCCUCACCUAGCCCUUUUUUCCCUUGGGUUUUCGGAGCCCGAGGGUCAUCUGUAUUUUAGCCCCCCCGGGCCAGUGCUCCUUCGAGUGUUGGUCCGAACUGAGCUGCCUGCGGGGCCACCUCGGGGAAACUCGAAGUCUGGUUUUACUCGUAGCUAGUCUCAUCCGGUGUUGCCUUGAGAACGAGAUAUGUGCAGCUCCUAUCGGGAUUUGUUGGCACAUCGGGCUGCUUUGCUGGUCUUGUUUUACCAUUGUCGAAAUGUCUAGUAAACCGGGAUUCCGAGUCUGAUCGGGUCUUCCUGGGAGAAGGUAUAUCCUUCGUUGAUCGCGAGAGCUUAUCAUGGGCUAAGUUGGGACACCCCUGCAGGGUAUAAACUUUCGAAAGCCUUGCCCGCGGUUAUGUGGCAGAUGGGAAUUUGUUAAUAUCCGGUUGUAGAUAACUUGACACCAGAUCCGAAUUAAAACACAUCAACCGCGUGUGUAGCCGUGAUGGUCUCUUUUCGGCGGAGUCCGGGAAGUGAACACGGUUUUGGGUUAUGUUUGACGUAAGUAGGAGUUCAGGAUCACCUCUUGAUCAUUGCUAGCUUCACGACCGUUCCAUUGCUCCUCUUCUCGCUCUUAUUUGCGUAUGUUAGCCACCAUAUAUGAUUAGUCGCUGCUGCAACCUCACCACUUUACCCCUUCCUUUUCCCUUUAAGCUUUGCUAGUCUUGAUACCCAUGGUAAUGGGAUUGCUGAGUCCUCGUGGCUCACAGUUUACUACAACAACAGUUGCAGGUACAGGUUAUGCGAUGAUCAUGUCGUGAGAGCGAUGUUUGCUUGUUUGGGAGUUCUUCUUCUCCUUCUUCUUCAAUCAGGGGAUAGGUUCCAGGUCGGCAGCCUGGGUAAGCAGGGUGGAUGUCAUUUGAGUUUCUGUUUGUGUUUCAUCCGUAGUUGGAUGCUGCUCUUAUGUAUGAUAUAUUGUUGUAUUCUUGUGUCAUUGAAUGUUUUGUAUGUAUCCCCAUCUAUUAUGUAAUGUUGAUGUAAUGAUAUCCACCUUGCAAAAGCGUUUCAAUAUGCGGUUCUAUCCUUGGUGGGACCUUCGAGUCUCUUUAGGAUAGUAUCGCAUAUUGGGCGUGACAACUUACUUCACGUGACAAAAGGGAAAAACAGAGUGGCGCCUAUAGAGAUACGCACCAUACGGCCUGUCCCAGAGGAGUCCCACCAUUGGUCGUCAAAACCGAUCACCUUCGACCAUCAGGAUUACUCUAGAAGUAUCCGGAGCGCAGGCUGGACUGCCUUGAUAUUAGAUCCGAUAAUUGACGGACUCCACUUUACACAAGUCCUAAUGGACGACGGCAGUGGUCUAAACCUGCUAUCUCAGGACACAAUCUGCAAAAUGGGGUUAAACCCAACAAAAAUUCGCCAUGGCAACACUUCCUUUCAAGGGGUAACGCCAAGCCCAGAUACCCAUUGUACGGGUUCUCUUGUGUUAGAAGUUAUGUUCGGAUCCCCCGACAACUUCCGUCGUGAAAAGCUAACCUUCCACAUCGUCCCAUUUACAAGUAGCUAUCGAGCACUACUGGGACGCGAAGCUUUCGCUCGCUUUAACGCAAUACCACAUUAUGCAUCCCUUAUGCUUAAUAUGCCCGGUCCGCGAGGCAUCAUCUCAUUAAAGGGAAAUAUCGAGUGUUCCUCGAGCGCGGAAGACUGUGCGGCUGCCUUGACAGCCACACACUAAACCAGCUUCACUAAUCGAAGCACCUAAACAGGUCGUUCAGACCCCGGACAUGGCUAGACAAGUCCCGCGUAAACAUACAAGGGCUUACUAGCCGCAUACCCCCGUACAAGGGGCUCCAUGCGUGUACAACGAGAGAUAAUAAAGCUCAAUUCUACCCAUUUUCUGAAUUAUGCUUUGUUUAUUUAAUAUAACAUAGAUUUUUGCAUGAUCUUUUUCAACUAAGUUCCUCUCUUUUAUAGAUGAACACCGUGCUACACCCGUCUAGGAUACGGCACAACGGAGACACAGGCGUAGACGUGCAGUAGGGACCCGUUCCAAGGAUUCUUUUCAGAUUAAGACCCUGCAUAAACCUUUUUCACUGUCUCUUGUUGGUACACAUCCCCCGGUUUCUUGUUAUAACCAAGGAGGAGGCUGGUGUCUUGGCAUGUGGCCACGUCAGAAUUUUGCGCGUGCCUGGACACCAGGGGCUUCUUACCAAGGGCGUUGUUCAGCCCGUUUUCAUAAAGACCAAAUACCUUAGGGAGUGUUCGGCGUCGCGAGUUUGGCCUUAUAUGCAUCAGCUCCGAAUCAUGUCUUUGGUCAAAUGUUGGGUUUGCCCGGCUCCUGUGUUUUGCUGCCUUACGUUCCGCUCUAUUGGCUAAGGCGGUACCAGGAGACUACUGCGAUUGUGCCCCGGUUCGGCCAGGCGAGCACCUCAGUAGAGAAAGCACAAAACUGACUGUCAUGAUAUAGCGUGAGACUGGUCAACCACUCGAUGACCCGCCAGAAUCUCUAGGAUUCCUCCGCAUUAAUGAAGGGCCGUCUCCCGGCCAGGCACACACGCGCCCUAAAUUCGGGUGAGCGCGGUGCCCCUAGGGGCUAUAUAGUAGCCCCACUGUCAAACUCCUAUGGCUAAGUGAAAGUGAUAAAGCAUUAUAGUCUGGUUUGCCUAGUUCGCUGCGCUAUCACCUCCUUAAUAGGACCAAGACGUUGGAUCAAGUGUGAAAAUGUGCCUUCUGCGAACACCCCCGCAUUAUAUGCGUGGGGGCUGAAGCCGAAGACUGCCAUCUUUCAGAUUAUAUACACAUAUACAUUAACGACCGCACAUGAGGUAUUCUAAUUCUUGAAGGCACAAGUAUAAAAAGCUUAUAUAUUCCAUCGCAACAUUGUUUUACAAUAAUACAUGUUAUUUGAACAUAACAUCCUUCGAGCACUGCGUCUCUAUCAAACGAGCGCCCUGGAGAACUUCCUGAAAAUAGUGCUCGGCAGGUACUCGGCUCUCGUACGAAUCUUGGGAUGCAACAGCAAUGGCCUUCAUCUCCGCCCAGUAUGUCUUGACACGGGCAAGAGCCAUCUGCGCACCCUCUAUGCACACUGACCUCUUCAUUGCAUUAAUAUGCGGCACCACGCCGAGGAACUGCUGCACCAAGCUAAAAUAACUCUUCGGCUCGGGUCUUUUCAGCCAUAGAUGACUCACGACAUACUUCAUGGCGAGUCCGGAUAACCUAUUCAGCUCCGCCCAUGCGGCCAAACGAUCGGUUAAUGGAAGUGGGCGCUCUGGAUUGUGGAACUGCGACCAAAAAAGCUUUUCCACUUCGUGGUCAUUUUGACCGAGGAAGUGUUCGGCCGCGUCCGCAACACUCGCUGCCAAGUCCAGAUAAGUGUUCGCCGCACUCUACUGCCGGUCCAACGGAGCAUAUUUAGGAUCCCUGAACUUCAUCCGCAGCAUAAAGGGCUUUCCAGCCGUGAUAUCUCCGGCCUGACGUAGCUCCUCCUUCAUAGCUCUCAUCGCAGAGCGAGUAUCCUUGGCCUCGGUAGUGACCUUCUCUAGGUCCUUCUGUGCCACCCGAUCUUCUUUUUCAAGAAGCUUGCAGCGGUCGGCAGCAUUCUUCAACUUUACAGCCAUCUCGGCCAUUUCCUUCUUGCUUUGGCAGUGAGCAGCCUGUUCGGCUUUUAGCUCUUCAGCCGCCUUUAAGGCAGCUGCAUCGCUUUUCCUGGCCUGCUCCUUGGCUCGGGCAAGUUCCGCCCGAAGGUUCUCCAUGGCAGCGGCACCAUCUGCAUCAAGCACACAUAUUGUAAGGUACGGGCAUCAAGCUCCUCUUACCAGGUGUCUUCGGAGAAAUUACAUACCUUGUGCCUCGUCCAGCCGCUUGUUGACAAGCGCGAUGUCGGCAUCUGCCACGUCAAGUUGCCGCUUUAGCUCGGCAAAUUCAUCAGUCCGGCUAGCCACCGGACACUUCGCCACCUACAUAGGAAAGGCGACAUAUUAUACCUGGGAUUAUGAUCCUCAGUGCGCCAUCAUUUUUGACAACGCACAGAGUCUCAGGGGCUACUAUCUAUACAGGGCGCAUCUUAUAUAUGCAGAUCUGUCAAACGGUACAUCAUUUCGCGUACCUCAAAACCUGUCAGUAAACUCCUGACGGCCUCGUACAACCCGCUCUCCGCGGAUGAAAUCCUUCCAAUCACCAUAUCCAUCAAUGCACGGUGUUCUUCUGAGAUAGAUGCUCGCCCGAGCAGAUCCUUCAGCUCCUCCGACCGUGCACCGGACGGUGCCGGACUCGUCCAUUGUCCUUUUUCGAAGGCCGGACACGGAGGGCCUUGGGGGGCCAUACGACUGCCUUCCGGCCCUGCCGGAUUCGGAGAAACUCUCCGUGACAACACCUCAGGGUCACCCACCUCGCAAGGCGGUACGACAGGGGGAGGCGUUCCACUUUCCAUCAUCUUCGGACGAAGAUCCCCUGAAGAUGAGCUCUACUGAGAAGGGUUGUGAUCCAAACUACAAGGUAAAAUUUCGGUUAUCUUCCUCAGAAAUAGAACAGGGAUGUCUCUCAUUUUAAACCCCCCCUUCUUUACUUACGGCUCGGUGGAGAGCUGAUCCCCUUGGGGGCGCAAUGCGACCGAGGCACCCCCCGGCGCCGGACCCUCUGACAAAGAUUUCUUCCCCUGCUUUGAGACCAUGGCCUCCGGGUCUUCAGAGGCGGUCCUAUUCUUCCCCUGGUUAGAGGAAUUCUCGAUUCCUCCUUUCCUGACAGCCUCCUUCGGGGAGGCGGUAGCUUCCUUGCUCCCCUCUUCGCCUUCUUCCAAAGGCGCAACCUCCAGCAUCCUAAUUAACACGGGAUCCGACGUAGUCUCAGGGAGGGGGGCCGGACACCUGAUUAGCUUUGCUUUUGCUAUCCACUCCUGUUUAAGGGACAACUCUUUUAAGGGCAAUUUUAUGAUAAAUAUACAGAUAGCGUGUCCGGGUACAGGGCUACUUACUUGAGUAUCCGGGCGAUUGCAGCUCAGACCUGCAUCCUCGGACGAGUCCGGACACAUUGCUUGUGAUCCGAAGAACAAUUUGUACAUCUCCAUGGGCGUCACACCCACAGAAUGUUGGAGGGCUCGUGGUCCUUCCGGAUUAAACUCCCACAGGCGGAGGGGGCAACGUUUGCAGGGCAGGAUGCGGCGAAUCAACAUAACCUGUGUCACUACGGCCAGAUUGAUAUCUCUUUCUAGGAGAUCUCGAACGCGGCCCUGUAACAAGGGCACGUCCUUGGACGGCCCCCAGUUGAGCCCUUUAUUGAUCCAUGACGCUAGCUGUGGUGGGGGACCCGAGCGAAAGGCAGGUGGCGCCACCCAUUUGGUGCCCCUGGGAGCUGUGAUAUAAACCACUCUCGUUGCCAUAAGCUGAACUCCUCUUGAAAAGAGCCCUCGAGCCAUGGAGCGUCGGCAUUCUUGCUUAUAACAGCACCUCCGCACUCUGCAUGCUGCCCCUCGAUCAUCUUCAGCUCUACUUUGAAGGUCUUAAGCCACAAUCCAAAGUGAGGAGUAAUACGGAGGAAGGCCUCGCACAUGACAAUGAACGAUGAGAUAUGGAGGAUGGACUCCAGAGCUAAGUCGUGAAAUUCCAGCCCGUAAUAAAACAUGAGCCCCCUCACGAUGGGGUCCGCCGGGAAGCCUAGCCCCCGAAGGAAGUGAGACGCGAACACCAUGCUCUCACCAGGCUUGGGAGUGGGAAUAACCUGCCCUUGAGCAGGCAGCCUAUGCAAGAUUUCGCCGGUUAGAUACCUGACAUCUCUUAGCUUUAACACGUCUUCUUCCUUAACGGAGGAAGGCAUCCACUGGCCUUGAAGGUCGGAGCCGGACAUCAUCGGAGGUCCGAAGCGCCUGAAUCUGGAGCUUUGGGUAUUGGAACUCAAGGUGAGAGGCGGAUUUGAUUGAGAUUGAAAGAAAGGAGUCGAGCCUUGGUCUCUUUAUAAAGAGGUUGAAUACCAAGAGCCCUCCCCGUGACCGUUUGGGACCCGCCUUCGAUUGAGGAGACAUACCAACAAGCAUGAUUGGGUUACCCACGCCCGUAUCGGUGAGAACCCCGGAAUAAGGGGACACAAUUUCUGCUUUGACAAGACGUGCCAAGGAAACUACCUCGCUAAACGCGCUGAGGUGGUAAAACGAUAAAGGCUUGGCCGUGGCGUGAUGUCACGCUGUGAAAUACGUCAAUAGAUUAGAUUUGUGCAAAUAUUAUUCUCUCUACGGUGGAACUUGUUUUGCAGAGUUGGACACUAUCCUUGUGUUCAAAAUCUUCUAUGAAGUAUUCGGAGGAGGAACCCGCCUUGCAAUGCCGAAGACAAUCUGCACGCCGGACUCGUCGUCAUUGAAGCCUGGUUCAGGGGCUACUGAGGGAGUCCUGGAUUAGGGGGUGUCUGGAUGACCGGACUAUAACCUUUGGCCGGACUCCUGGACUAUGAAGAUACAAGAUUGAAGACUUUGUCCCGUGUCCGGAUGGGACUUUCCUUGGCGUGGAAGGAAAGCUUGGCGAUACGGAUAUGUAGAUCUCCUCCCAUUGUAACCGACUCUGUGUAACCCUAGCCCUCUCCGGUGUCUAUAUAAACCGGAGGGUUUUAGUCCGUAGGACGAACAACAAUCAUACCAUAGGCUAGCUUCUAGGGUUUAGCCUCUCUGAUCUCGUGGUAGAUCUACUCUUGUACUACCCAUAUCAUCAAUAUUAAUCAAGCAGGAGUAGGGUUUUACCUCCAUCAAGAGGGCCCGAACCUGGGUAAAAACAUUAUGUCCCUUGUCUCCUGUUACCAUCCGCCUAGACGCACAGUUCGGGACCCCCUACCCGAGAUCCGCCGGUUUUGACACUGACAUCCACCAUGCUCCAAAAAGGUAGAUUGCGCGUGCGUGUGUGUGAGAGAAGGGGAGUUGGCCUACAAUUUGAAUUUCUGAAAAUGUUUUUUUGUAGAAAUGAUUGCUAAACACUAUUAAUGAAAUAGUUAAUAUAAAAAUGGUUUGUUGGUGAGUAGAUGGGCACAUUAACCAACUAUAGUGUUCACAAUUACUUACCAUUGCCCCUUCUUGCCGGCCUUCUGGCCAGCUCCGUUUAUGGCCACAAGAUAGAUGGGGCAAGUUAAGAUUUGUCGAAGAUCUUAGGCUUAUAUGUGCGAGCGCGACUGUUCUAUGUCCCCUAUAUGGGGAUUUUAACCUUAUUUUGAGCGUUGAUAACAAGAACGAUAAUAAUAUCAAUCGCUACAUGUUGGGCAACAUCACGAAGUUCGUAAAUGACCACAGCCUGCUCGACAUUACUCACAAUGGUAGCCCAUAUUGCCCGACAUUACUCUUAAUGGUACCGCAUAUUCCCGGUCUAAUGACCAAGAGAAUACCUUGCUAUGCAAAUUGUCCACAUUUUAGGCUCUCGAGAGUGGUAUUCGUUGUUACUCCUUGUUAGGUCAUAUUUCUCCCGAAGUGAUUUUGGUGAUUGACGACAACAUGUUUGCGGACUAAUCAUGUGCAUUGAGUGUUUCAGACUAAGCAUAUUGCACAAGAUGAUUUGUAUCCCUCGGAGUUUCAAGAGAAGACGGUUUUUGUGCCUACGGUUCUUUUCUAGUGGUCUUGAGUCAUAGGGAUAACCGUACUAUCAAGAGGGGGUCCACUUGGAAAGGUUCGGGUGGAAUCAACACGUACACACUCAUAUUGCACCCUUUGAUCCUAUCCGCAUCGUUGGAGUUGUCCACCGUUUGUACCGAAGCAGUGGUGAAAAGCUACAAGUGGUAGUACUGCAGACUUGGGCGGUAGUACCGCUACGAGUACCGAUCGUACUACCGCUCAUGGCUGGGACCUCGAUUUUUCGUGUCGGGAUCUACGGUAGUGCAUCCGGAUUACUACCGUGCUUCCCAUUUGUCCCCAGAAACAGGGCGGUUGUAGCAGCGGUAGUUGAGGCGGUACCGCCCAUAGGCGGUAGUACCGCCCUACUACCGUGGAUACCACCGCUCGUGCCUCUGUUUUCCCCCUGUUUCCCGUUCUCUCCUGUGAUGCCUCUAGGGAGCGGUAGUACCACGGACUGGGGCGGUAGUACCGCUCCUGGAGCGAUAGAACCGCCUGUCUGCGGGCUGAGUGGUGCAUAACGGUUGGAUUUGUCUUCCCACUAUAAAAGGGGGUCUUCUUCCUCAAGAGACCUCACCUCUUUUCCCCCAAGCUCCAUUGUUACUUCAAAGCUCAUUUUCGCCCGAUUUCUCUCCCUAGACAAUCAAACUUGUUGAUUUUCUAGGGAUUGGUUGAGAAGACCCGCAUCUACACUUCCACCAAGAGAAAUUUGGUUUCCCCCACUAAUCCGUUGCGGAUCUUAUUAAUCUUGGGUGUUUGAGCACCCUAGACGGUUGAGGUCACCUCGGAGCCACAUUCCAUUGUGGUGAAGCUCCAUGGUAUCAUUGGGAGCCUCCAAUCAAGUUGUGGAAAUUGCCCCAACCUUGUUUGUAAAGGUUCAAUCGCCGCCUUCAAGGGCACCACUAGUGAAAUCACGACAUCUCGCAUUGUGUGAGGGCGUGAGGAGAAUAUGGUGUCCCUACACUACAAAAAAAAUACACUUCUGUGAUGAUACGUGUUUGUCACAGUAGGUCACAUUUUUGUCAUGCAUGUACAUCCAUGACGAUUUUAUGGCAGAAUCAAGGUAGUCAUACCUGUGCUGUCGUAGAAGUGUUCCAUGACAUUACCAAAAUUAUCAUCACGGAAGUGUCCACUUCCAUGACGAUAAAUCGCGCGUCACAAAAGUGCUUUCGUCAAGGGUGACCGACACGUGGCAUCCACCGUAACGGAACGCCGUUAAGCUAUUGGGUCGGGUUUUGGAUCCGAUAACCUGUUAACAGCCCCGACAAAUGGGGAUUUUCCACGUGUAAAAUCAUCAUUGGCUGGAGGAAACACGUGUCAGCUCAUCGUUGGGACAGAUGUCAUCCACUCAUUGGACAGAAGGCGCCUAUGAUACGUCGACACAUGGCACGGCCCAUCAAGUUUAAAUGGGCCGGCCCAACUAAAGGCCCACAAGAUUUUGCAGACCAUAAUGGGCCGGCCCAGCUAAAGGCCCACGAGAUUUUACAGACCAUAAUGGGCUAGCCCAGCUAAAGGCCCACAAGAUUUCGCAGGCCAUAAUGGGUCGGCCCAGGUAAAGGCCCACAAGAUUUUUGUGUGCCAUAAUGGGCCAGCCCAGGUAAAGACCCACAAAAUUCUUGCGGAUCAUAAUGGGCCGGCCCAGCUAAAGGCCCACGAGAUUUUGCCGACACUAAUGGGCCGGCCCAGCUGUAGGCCCACAAGAUUUUGAGGACCCUAGUAGGCAAGCCCAUUAACUGGCUGCCAUGUUUUGGGCCAAAUGCUGGCCCAUAUUUGAUCCGAUCCAUUAAUGGCCUGCCACGUUCCGGGCCUAGUAAUGGCCCAUAUGAGACCCGGCCCGUUAAAAGCCUCCCACGUUCUGGGCCAAAUCACGUCCCAGAUCAGGUCCGGCCCUUUAAGAGGCUUUGGCCUCAAUUAUGGCCCAUAUCAGAUUUAGCCCGUUAACCACACGCUAUGCUUUUGGGCCCACUUGAAAAAGGCCCAUUUAGUAAAUCAGUCUGAUAUUAGUUUGGGCCUGUUAAGGGCCCGUUUAACAUUUCAGCCCUAUAUUAAUUUCGGCCUAUUAAAAGCCCGUCAUAUAGUUGGGCCUAACUACGGCCCGGUUUGCAUACGGCCUGCUCGCAAUCGAUAUCUGAUUGGGCCAAACAAGGACCAAGACAAUUUUGGCCUAUUAAAACCCCGUGAUUUGAUUAGCACAAUCAUGGGCCGGGGUCCAUUUCGGGCUGCCGCCAGCCCGUGAGCUGUUCGGCACGUUUCAGGCCCAACCUACUUCUCAGCCUCCUAAAAGCCCAUUGAGUUUUCUUGCGAAAAGAGUGCCGGGGGUUACUCGACCUAGUAAAGGCCCGAAUCUACUAGUGGGCCAGUUUGACGGGGCCCAUGAUGCGGAUCAUACAUCGUGAUUGCAUGAUGGCCCGAUUAUGUAUCAUAAUUUUAUGGUUUGGCCGCUUUACUGUGAAGACAGGAUAUAUAUACAGGAAAAUAACUGCAGCAUCGUGAAUAUGAAAAACCUAGACUAUACAACAAAGAAAUUACGGCAUAUUACAUCCACUAAGCAUCAAAGUUUGCCACUAUGAUAAUAAAGCACAAGCAGACAGCAGAUUACAUACACUGGGCAUCAAAGAUCGCCACCAGUGCAAAUAAACACGCCGACAAAAUAAUAUACAAAACCGAUAGCACUUCAAUAGAGUUCAAGAAAGAUUAGCCCUGCUGGCGAGUUGCAGCGCAAGCACCCGAGCAAGAUGAUGAGACUACGCUUGUUCAACACUUAUAUCUUCCUCACUCUGAAAGAUAAACAAGCAGACAGAUGACAGGUUUUGCACAUAAAAGUAUCAGUGCUGACAAUUCAUCACAUUUAUUACUAACGAAUAAAGUGACACAGUUUAAAAAUGCAUUAACACAAUAUGGUAUUGUUCAGGUCAAGACAUGGCAGGAAAUGACAUUGUCAAGGAGUUGGCAGCUUCACGACACCACUGGAUUACAGAUCAAGAACUCAUAAGUAUCAAUGCUUAGUGUGCUGUCAAUUUAUCCCAUUUCAGAUUGGCAAAUAAAGAGACGGUUUAAAUAAUAGUAGAAUGAUAUGACAUUGUUCAUAGUUAAGACAUUGCAGAAUAUGACAUUGUGCUGUAGUGGAUAGGUUCACCACACCACUGGAUUACGGAUGAAAAAUAGAAGCAUACAUGCAGUGCAAAAAAGAUCACUUGCUCUAUAUAGUUUAAUUUACAUGGUGAAGGAACUUGGUUGUACAACUGAAAACUUAAAUUGAGAAGGACAAACUUUUUUUAUGAACUAGUACAUAAUAAACUUUAAACAUGUAAUUUGAUGCAAACACCAAAAAUAAACAGCUGUUGCAGUCAUGCCUAACCAAAUAUACACAACAAAGUUUGAAGGCUUGAGAAGGACAAACUUACAUUACUGGUGAAGACAGGCUCUAUAAAUCCCUUGUCCAUGCUAAUGGGGGGGGGGGCAAUUCAAGAAGUUUACCACAUAAUCUUCUUCAUAAGCAUUACCUUUAUUCUACAUUUUGUUAAGAGUAUAUAUAGAUGUGAUAAUAUACCAAAAAAUGGAGAAUAUUUAAGAUAAGAUGAAGAGUGAUGCUACAUAAACAAGUAGCUAUAAAUGUAUGUGCAGCGAUACAGGCAAAAUGCACAUCCAAGAGCAAUGCACAACUGAACUUCUUCAGUACCAACCUUAUGGUAAGAGUAAAUAUAGAUCUGAUGUGUAGAAAAUGGAGGGAAAAGGAAAAUAAGCUGCAGAGUGAUAGUACAUGAACAACUACCUAUCAAUAUAAGUACACUGAUAAAGCAGCAUGUACUUACAAACAAUGCAGAGCUAAAAAAAUCAUUGGCAUUGGAUAUAUUCUACACUAAUGUAACCAUUUAUACAGAUCAGAUAAUUUGGAGCAAACAAUUGAUAAGCAAGCUAUCAUGCAUACCACUGUCACAUAAUGAACCAGGUAUGUAUGCAAGUACAGUGAUACAGGACAACAUGUACUAACAAGAGCAAAGCAGCGGGCAAGAUAUUUGCGAUAUCCUGUCGUUCUUUUCGAACCGGAAUUCUUCUUCGAGCAGAUUUCUUGCAAAAAAGAUCCGUAAGGCACAUGCGGAAAAGUAGAAGUUCAAAUUGUCAUGUGAUUUCAUAGACAGUACCUCAUCCUGGGAACGAGACCAGUGCAUAACAAGGUCUUUCCAUUCAAUGUCUUCUAAAUUUAGCACAAGAGACUUCACCGAAAAUUCGUUUAUAGACUUGCCAUCAAAGUGUGAUUUCCUCAGGUAACACCGAUACUGCUGCAAUGCUUCCUUGAAAAGCACAAGCAAGCUUUGCUCGUCAUGACUAUCCAGAUUGACCCUCGCCUAGUUACAACAAUGUAAUGUAAAUCAUUGAUGUGUUCGAUCAGCAGAAAACAAGAAAAUAAUUACCAUGAAUAAUAGCACUUACACGUAAGUUGGACAGGAAGAUGUGAAAAUGGUGUUUGUCUUCACUAUAAUCUUCCCAUGAUGGGAAUAUAUGCACGUAGUCCCUAACAACAUUGAAAGCAUUGUAUUUUAAACUGGGAAUAAAUGGAAUGGGGUUCCAAUCUGCAGGAAUUGGCCGUCUCUGCAGUUGGGAUAGGUCUUCGGCCGGUGGACUUGCUGUACUUUUUGCUGGAGUGGGAUUUUUCUGUGGUACGACUGGUGCUAUGGCAAAUGAAAUCGGUAUACCUUUUGCUGGAGUGCAGGUCCUGUGUGGUGGGGCUAGUGGUGUGGCCAGUGAAGUAUGGGUACAGUCUGCUAGAGUCGGUCCUACGUUUUGUGUCACUGGUUGUACAAUCAAUAUAAGUGGGGCAAUGUCUGAUUUCUCCGGCACCACAACGUUUUUCAAGGACUUUGCUGGUGCUCCUUCGGGUUCGGCAAUCACCCUCUUCCUUUUUGAUGUCUGAUGCACAAGAACAACAUUUGAGUGAAAAAACAUGGUAUGAUGACAGAUGGAAUAUGUAUUGAUAAUGGAUGGGCAUGGCAUCUCGAGUUAUAUGAUGAGUAAACUAAGCAGAUGGCGGUGCAACAAAGUAGAAGAAAUGCAAGACAACAUAUGCAAGAUAUGCGCAAUCAAUAAAACCUUGCCAAAUUAGAACAUGCACCUUGAUGGGUGAACAGGACAGACCAUCUGCCUUUGAAUCCUCGAGGUUAGAAUAGUCAUUAGAAUGAUAUUCUGAACAAGAAUCAACAGGUGGGGAGCGUAUGAGUUUCAUUGCUUCCAGAAUGGCACUCAAUGCCUUGGUGCCAAUUUUGUAAGUCAUUGCAGUGUUCCACAAUAUUCUUCUGAUGCACAAAUUCUGAUAUUCACUGUAAUUGUGCAUAAUAUCUGAGAACCAUGAAAACAUAAAUAGUUGUUAGAUUAUCUUUGUAAUGCAGAUGAUAUUCUAAUAUAGGGGCGCCCAUGUAAACACUUGUGUGCUAUCACUGAAUUCUGAUGAGAGAGCUCAUGUGUGCUGUAAUAUGGUGCGUGCAUUUAUAUAAUCUGGCACAAGUACAAAAAAAUAGGCUCCAGAAGUAAGGAUAGCUGGCAGAUGAUAGGUUCAUAAUAUACUGUAUAGAGAGUUUAUUGCCAAACCAUGAUAACAAGAGCACACAACAACUAGGCAGAUCAUAGUGUACAUAACAGGGGUACACCAUAACCACGAUAUAUAAAUCAGGAAAGUGGAACUGGCUUGAAAAUACGGUGUUGUAUUGCCGCUAGUAAUUGAAAGCCUAUCGAUCACGUACAUGCCAGCUCUAUCAGCUGUUGACUGUAGAUGUCCCUGCGCCCCUUCCUGACAAGGAACAUACUGUAUGUACUAAAUACAGAAUAAACAAAGAGGAACAUGUUAAAGAACAGAAGAGGAAGCAUAUUCUUGAGGUUCCGCUUCAUUGCAUACAAUGUUGGUUGCCCACUCAUGAUGAAUCACAACACCCAAAGAAAUGCAAUGCCAUGCUAUCUCUCCAUAUGUGGCAAUUUUGAACAAGAGUCAUUAGGAUCAUAUUCUGAACAAGAGUCAACAGGUGGGGAGCGUAUGAGUUUCAUUGCAUCUAGAAUGGCACUCAAUGCCUUGGUGCCAAUUUUGUAAGUCAUUGCAGUGUUUAGCUUCAAGAGUGGACUGCUGCUAGUGCGACACAAAGCAGCUACACAGAUCAUAGUGUAGAUAUAACAGGAAAACCUUAAGCAUCAGAGUAAAAUCAGCAAAGUGGAACUUGCUGGAAUAUAUGUGCUAGUUUGCCGGUAUGGCUAGAAAGGCUUUGGAUACCAUCUCUCUUCAAGUGAAGGUGCGGUACUGUUAAUAUCAGUGUAACUCUCAAAGGCGACACAACUCCCUGCAUUUCCUUGCUAUUCUUAUAGGAUUCAAGUGGGUAGGCCACUACAAAUCCUAUUCCUAUGUUUAUAAGAUCCUACAAAUCAAAGAGGCUCAAAGUAUCCAUCACAACCGACCGUAUAGACCUCUACACUACAAAUGUCCCUGCUCAUCUUCAGUACAAGGAACAUACUGUACUACUAUCAUACUCCCUCCAUUCCAAAAUAUAAGUCUUGGUAGAGAUUUCCACUAUGGAUCACAUACAGAUGUAUCCAGAUACACUUUAGAGUGUAGAUUCACUCAUUUUGCUCCAUAUGUCAUGGUGGAAUCUAUACAAAGACUUGUAUUUAGGAACGGAAAGAGUACAUAUUAAAGAAGAACGAAAGAGGAACAUGGUAAAGAGGAGCAAGCAGAUUUUGGAUAAUAAAAUGUUGGUUGCGCAGUGCCCACACAUGAUGAACCAGAGCGCAUUAAGAAUGCAACUCCCAGCUAUCUCUCGACCAUUUUAGGCGGUUGGAUGAAGAUCCUACGUCUCCUAACCCAUAUUCUUCCCCGUCUCUGAUUCUUCCCAUACAGAACACCACACGGGCCGCCGGCCGGACCACCGACCCCCACCGCCUGCGUUCCUCCGCCACCCCCACCCCCACCCCCGCCCCAACCCCCACCAGCGUCGAGUUUUCUUCAUUCGGCGAGUCCCCACAACCACCCGAGCCCCUUAGUUUGCAUCGGCGAACUCCGGCAAGCUCUGAAAAAUUUAGUUGAAAGUGCAACUAUCCCUAGGUGGUUUUGGUAAUUCAUAACAACAUAUAGCUCAUUGAGCUAAUGCUAUUCCAAGACUAUUAUUUGAGGAAGCUCAAUGAAUGGCAUGGCAUGGAUGAUGAAAGUGGAUCCCUCAAAAUAUCAAGGACAAAGGAUUGGCUCAAGCUCAAAAGCUCAAGACUCUACAUUUUAUAUUUCAGUGAUCCAAGAUCACAUUGAGUCUAUAGGAAAAGCCAAUACUAUCAAGGAGGGAUGAGGUGUUGCUUAAUGAGCCUCUUGCUUCAAGUGCUUAGUGAUAUGCUCCAAAUACCCUCAACUACUUUCUCACAUCCUCAUAUGACCUAAACCUAAAGCCAAAAUAGGUCACACCAAUUCUUUCUAUCCGGUGCCACCGAGUUCAAAUGUCUUAGCCACUGCCACAAACCCUAGGCAAAUCGGUAUCACCGAUAGGGAUUUCGGUCUCACCGAGAUGGGAUUGUAAUCUCUCUGUUUCCCUUCGAAUGUUUCGGUCUAACCGAAGUGAGCGAUCGGUCCCACCGAGAUUGCAAUGUAAACUCUCUGUUUCCCCUUUGUAACAUUUCGGUCUCACCAAAAAGAGCAAAUCGGUCCCACCGAGUUUACCUGACCAACUCUCUGGUUAGCUAAUUACCAAAAUUGGUCCCACCGACUUUGUGUAAUCAGUCUCACCCAGAUUACGUUAUGCCCUAACCCUAACCAUAUCGGUCCUACCGAGUUGCAUGUCGGUCCCACCGAAAAUCCUAACGGUCACUAGGUUUACUAAAUCAGUCUGACCGAGUUUGUUGAUUUGGUCCCACCGAGAUUGGUAAAUUGUGUGUAACGGUUAGAUUUUGUGUGGAGGCUAUAUAUACCCCCCACCUCCUUUUCAUUCAUGGAGAGAGCCAUCAGAACAAACCUACACUUCCAACUUACCAGUUCUGAGAGAGAACUACCUACUCAUGUGUUGAGGCCAAGAUAUUCCAUUCCUACCAUAUGAAUCUUGAUCUCUAGCCUUCCCCAAGUUGCUUUCCACUCAAAUCUUCUUUCCACCAGAUUCAAAUCCUAUGAGAGAGAGUUGAGUGUUGGGGAGACUAUCAUUUGAAGCACAAGAGCAAGGAGUUCAUCAUCAACGCACCAUUUGUUACUUCUUGGAGAGUGGUGUCUCCUAGAUUGGCUAGGUGUCACUUGGGAGCCUCUUACAAGAUUGUGGGUUGAAACAAGGAGUUUGUAAGGGCAAGGAUAUCGCCUACUUCGUGAAGAUCUACCGCUAGUGAGGCAAGUCAUUCGUGGGCAACGGCCAUGGUGGGAUAGACAAGGUUGCUUCUUCGUGGACCCUUCUCGGGUGGAGCCCUACAUGGACUCGCGCAGCCGUUACCCUUCGUGGGUUGAAGUCUCCAUCAACGUGGAUGUACGAUAGCACUACCUAUCGAAACCACACCAAAAACAUUCGUGUCUUCAACUGCGUUUGAAUCCUCCAAACCCUUCCCUUUACUUUCUUGCAAGUUGCAUGCUUUAAUUUCCGCUGCCUAUAUACUCUUUGCAUGCUUGCUUGAUUUGAGUGAUGAUUGCUUGACUUGUCCAAAUAUUGCUAAAAUCUGCCAAACUCUAAAAUUGGGAAAAGGUUAAGUUUUUAAUUGGUCAAGUAGUCUAAUCACCCCCCCUCUAGACAUACUUCAAGGUCCUACAAGUGGUAUCAGAGCUUUGGUCUCCAUUUGCUUUGAUUUCCAUAGCUUUUGAUGGUCAUAGCCUUGGUUUCACAACCUAGGAGAGUAUGGCGUCUAGCGAGGGAAAUUAUCACCGUAGAGGUCCUUACUUUGAUGGAACUAAUUUUGCUAGUUGGAAGCAUAAGAUAAAAAUGCAUAUUCUUGGACAUAACCCCGCCGUUUGGGCUAUUAUUUGUAUUGGCUUGCAAGGUGAAUUCUUUGAUGGGAGAGAGCCGAACCGUGAAGCUAAUGCGGAAGAAUUAAAGAUGCUGCAAUACAACGCUCAAGCUUGUGAUAUCCUCUUCAAUGGUUUAUGCCCUGAAGAAUUCAACAAAAUCAGCCGUCUUGAGAAUGCAAAGGAAAUUUGGGACACUUUGACUGAUAUGCAUGAAGGUACCGACUCCGUCAAGGAAUCCAAGUUGGAUGUGCUCCAAAGUCAGCUUGACAAGUUCAAAAUGAAGGAUGGUGAAGGUGUCGCUGAAAUGUACUCUAGGCUUGCUCUUAUCACAUUGCCGGCUUAGGGAGUGAAGAGAUGACCGACCGAUUCAUCAUCAAGAAGAUCCUAAGAGCAUUGGAUGGAAAAUAUGAUACCGUGUGCACAUUGAUUCAAAUGAUGUCCAAUUACAAGAAUCUCAAGCCAACGGAGGUCACUGGUAGAAUUGUUGCUCAUGAGAUGUCACUCAAGUAUAAGGAGGAACUUCACAACAAGUCAAGUGGUGCUUACAAAGCCUCAUGUGAAGCCCCCACAUCAUCAAGUGAGAAACAAACCUUCAAUGAAGAAUCGAGCUUAAUGGCGAAGAAUUUGAACAAAUUCUACAAGAGUAGAAGCAAAGAAAGAAGCUCUAAGUCAAGGUCCUACAAUGACAAGAGAUCUUCCAGUCGAGAGCGCAAUUGCUACAAUUGUGGGAGACCCGGACACUAUUCCAAUGAGUGUACGACACCCUACAAAAGAAGAGAAGAUUCUCCAAAAAGAAGAAGUAGAAGAGAAGAAUCACCGCCAAGAGAGACAAGGAGUAGAGAUGAUCGUUAUGAACGAAGACCCUCACGGAGAAGCAAAGAUUCGGAAAGGAAGGACAAGUCAUCAAAGAGCUACACAAAACGAAGACAUCAAGCUCAUGUUGGUGAAUGGGUAUCCGGUUCCGACUCUGAACAUCACUCCGAGAGAAGCUAUCACUCCGACUCUGAAUAUACUCAAGAUGAAGGUGUUGCCGGUCUAGCACUUGUGUCAACCAACUCCUAUGACAUAUUUGACUCACCAAAUGAAGGAAUUGGAAGAUGCUUCAUGGCUAAAAUCCCUAAGGUAACUCAUCCCGAGUAUGUUGAUUUCAAUAGUGAUGAAGAUGACUUGCUAGGUGAUGAUGAUUUACUUAUUAACAACUCUAGUGAUGAAUACUAUGAUGAAACGUCAAUUAAUCAUGCUAAACAAGAUAAAACAAAUGACAAUGAUAAGGAGAAGAAUGAGCUUCUAACUAAAGAACUAAACACUCUUAAGUUAGCUCAUGAAACUAUCUUCGAAAAUCAUCGAGAACUUUUAAGGGCUCAUGAGAAGUUACGCUUUGAAAAGCUCAAUCUUGAGCAAGAUCAUGAGUUCUUAAAGGCAAUCAAUGAUGAUCUUCGCAAGAAAAGUUCUUCUUAUAUUGCCAAGCGUUUACUCUUAUCUACUUACAUACCUCAAGUCAAGUCUAGUAACAAGAACAAGAAAGAUUCUUCCUCUAGUAGUAACAAUAACAAUGCUAAAUCCAAUAUUGUUGCUUCUAGUAGUUCUCUUGAUUCCACUAAUGAUUCUCUUAGCCAAGUUACACUUGAGCAAGAAAAUAGCUUAUUGAAGGGAAUUAUAGAGAAAGGUGUAUACAAGAGCCUUGCCGGGAGUAAGCAAUUCGAGGAAAUUGUACGCAAGCAAGGAAGGCACCGGAAGAAUCAAGGUGUUGGUUUUGAACGAAAGUUCAAUGCCAAUGGAGUUGAGUGGGAAGAAUAUCAAUACCCCAAGACGAAGUUUGUUCCUCAACAAGAGAAGUAUGAUCCUACUUCCUUCAAGGGGACACAAGCACAAGAUGAUCUUCCACCACAAGACCACAAGAACAAAGGCAAGGACAAGCUUCAAGAGGAGAUUGAUGCAUUUGAAGAAGCACCCAAGGCCUUGGUCAAGUGGGUUCCCAAGACUACGUCAAGUUCUACUUCAUCAAGCACAACUACUACACCAAGGAUUCCCAUUAAGAUGAUGUGGAUCCCGAAGAAGAAGAACUAGAGAGUUCUUGAGGGUGACUCCGCCAACAUUCUUCACUCAUAUCAUUAUGGCAAGGACAAGUGCAAUCAACUUCCACAUCUUUCACUAGUUCAAGGAGUCACAAACCCUCAUGUUGGUAAGGCAAGGGAAAAGGUAACCUAAUGUUUUCACGGACAUCAUAUUGUGUGUGCAUCACUCUAUGUCUAUGGAUAUUCUUGUUUGUUCCUUGUGGGACUAACCCGUGUAGGUAUUGAAAGUGCAACUCACUCCAAUGGAUUGCUCCAAAAGAUCUACAUCAACAUUGAGCAUCCACAUCUUCAACACCUACAUGAAGUCAUCAUUGACAAAACCCAAGGUUAGUUCAUCCCUCUAAGGGGGGGGAUCUCACAUCUAGGGGGAGCUUAACUCUAAAGAAUUGAGUCAAAGCAACUCUAAUGAUGUGAACACAUCAAUGCAUUAUGUAAAAGUGGUAACCCCACUUGAGCUUAAACGAUGAGUAUGACCUAUGAUCAAAUGUUCUCAUUUGACUCCUAAGUCAAUAUACUCAUAUAUAGAUGACCUAGUCAUCGCCAAUUGUUUGAUAGAUGCUAUAAUUGGUUGUGCAUGCUUUGCCACAUAUUUCAUUUGUCAUUUUAUUGUGUGAGCAUGUUGGUUGCAUAUUUUACUCAUUCAAGGACAUCCACUUGUUGUUUUGAUUGAUUGGCUUCUUUUUCUUUGGCCAAGUGGAUGGACAAGAAUUCCUAAGAACCUUCUCUAGCUAUCUAUACUUUUCUCGUCUCAAACUCUAUUCAUGCCACAUCACAAAAUUUGAUCAAGUCAGAUUCGAACCACUCUGUGUGAGGAGUACUUGGAGUCCCCGAUUCGUCAUAGACUUAAACUUCCAAAACUUCUUUGUAAUUUUCGGUCUGACCGAUUCCUCCAUUUCGGUCCUACCGAGAUCAGUAAGUCGAUCUAGGUUUUCAAUCUCGGUGCAACCGAUUUGAACUUUUCGGUCACACCGAGUUGCUGUAACUGUUAACAGUUAUGCAUCUCGGUGCCACCGAGUUGUUCCACUCGGUCACACCGACAGUGUCGGGCUAUAUAUACUCACGGGCAAAUUUUGGAAAACUUUCUCUGAAACUCCUCGCUCGCGCAUAGCUCGCUCUGCCUACUAGGUCUAUGAAUCGUCGACUUCAUCGCCAGCCGCCUCCUGUCGCCUGUCUCCACCGACGUCAAUGGAUUUCUUCUUCGCCAUUGCCGCCGUAGCGAGUUCACCGCCGAACUAGGGUAUGAACUCAAUCACAGUGCUAUCCUCAUCUAAUUCUCAGCACAUUGUGUUCGUAAUGCAUCUUGCCACGAUUGAAACACUCCUAUCCAGUCAAUGCGAUCCUUAGAAUAGUUGUGAUUCGAAAAUUUAGGGUUAGGUUUCCGCCGAAACCAUCUCGGACCCACCGAGUUGAAAAACUCGGUCCCACCGAUUUGGCUAACGCCAUUGCACUAGUAAGUCUCGGUCUGACCGAGAAUUACAAAUCGGUGUGACCGAUUUUAGAGCUUUGUGAAACCCUAGCAGUCUCGGUGCCACCGAACUGUGACUCGGUCUGACCGAGUUCACUAGUUUAGGUUCCAAAACUGCUUCGGUAUCACCGAGUUUGAAAAUCGGUAGAUCCGAAAUGCUUACUGUGGAAACUAAAACUAAGUUUUUUGAAUCAUUCUUUUGCAAAAAUCUUUGCAUUUUGUGAUGCUCAUCCACUCUAUCUCAUCUAUAACUAUUCACAGGGUCAGCAGUCAGUGAUUUGCAGCAUGUCAGACCAAAGUGAUAGUGAGAACAAGUUAGCAGAGCAGAUUCACAUGAGUGAGGGCACUAGUCCCUCUAGCAGCUCAGAUGAGGGGAGCAGAAGCACUCCCAGCAAUUUGCCCAAAGCAGCCACAAGAGCUAGAAGGAAGAGAACCUCAUACUCCGAGGAUGAGGAUUAUGUUGCUGUUGAAGAUGAGGCUACUUCCAAGAAGGUAGUGCUCAAGAAGGUGCUCAGUUCAACUGCAGUAAAGCCAGGCAUGAAGAUCAAAAGGCCAGCAGGAAGACAACCAAUGUCCAAAGCCAGAGGAUCAACUCAAGUACCUAAAAAGCCUGAUCCCAAAGAGCCAGCUGUAGAAGGAAAGAAAAGGAAGGAAAGGGUCAAGAAGACCAUGGCCAGAGUUGUUGGUGAACCUUCCAUGAUGGAAGAGGGAGAAGAGGUUGCUGAACCAGCACCAAGGCACAAAAGCUGAUGGGUGAUGCUAUAAAGUCAGGGGCUGCAACAUCAAAGCCCAAAGAAUCACCCAAAGAUGCCUCCAAGCCCAAGAUUGCACCAAAGAGAAAUACCAGGAGUAUACCAGCAACUUAGAAGAACAAGGCCCCAAUGCUUGAGGUUGCUGCUGAGGAAGAUGAAGAAGGGCGGAUCUUAAGGAAGCUGAAACCCAAGAUCCCAGACCACAAUGAUGCUCAUCCUGUGGCUGAGAACAUGAAAAUCAGGAGAGACUCAGGGUUGAGGCUAUGGAGAGAGUCAGAUCCAUAUGCCACCAGGAGAAGGACUGCUGUAGAUUACAGGUUCCACACCAAGGAGUAGCAGGACUUCUAUGAGACAAUCCUGUUGGACAAGAAGCCCAUAGUGUGUGAUAUGAGGUGGGUCGACUGGACCUACAUGAAGGAAAAUGAGGAACACUAUCCUGGAGUGCAAGACAGUUUCAUUGCUUAUGGAGUUGCAGAUUUUGUUGGGUAGAAGCUCACCAACUGGAAUGAUGAACUCAUUAUGCAAUUCUACUCCACAUCACACUUCUAUCCAGAUGGCAGGAUAGUUUGGAUGUCUGAAGGAACGAGAUACCAGUCAACCAUUGAGGAAUGGGCAAGCCUGAUCAAUGCCCCAGAGGAGAGUGAAGAUGACUUGGAUAUUUAUGCCAAGAAGAAAAUGGAUCAUAACUCAAUGUCACAUAUGUACAAGGAGAUCCCUGAUGAAGCACUUGAGAUUUUCAAGUUUGGAUCAGUUCAUUUUCUUCUGUCAGGGCUGCCUACGAUCAACCAGAUCUUAAGGCACACUCUUUUGCCCAAAUCAGGUGAUCACAACAUGAUUAGAGGGCAUGCAAUAAACUUGCUACAUGUAUUUGAUGUGUCCCAGAAAUCCAAGGUCAUGAGCCUUAUGGUUGAAACUAUCAAGAGGACUGCAGCAGACUAGAAGAGAAGUUGUGGAUAUGCCCCACAGAUUCAGGAGUUGAUUAACUCAAAGAUGGGCACAGGAAAAUAUCAGUUGGAUAAAGAACAAUUUGCUCUCUAUCCAGACUUUGAGGACAAUCAAGUUGUCAUGAAUGAGGAUGAACCAUCAUCAGUGCAAUCUCAAGCGAAGAAGGAGAAAGCAAGUAAAGAGAAGGCUGCCAAGAUGCCAACUCAAGAGGAGGCAUUUGAGUAUUUCUUGAAGAACAAGCAGGAGCAGCUUGGUUACUUGAUAGCAUCAACACUGAGGAUUGAGAAGGGGUUGGCCACCCUAACUCAAAACCAGGAGAGCCUGGAAAGGAUCAUGGAACAAAAAUUCUAUGAUCUUGAUGUCAAAGUAACUGAGAUUCAGUCAGUUGUGGAACAGCUUCAGGAUGACAUGCUGGAGAGGAAGGGAAAGACAACCACUGAUGCAUUUGCCAGAGUGCCUAGAGCUCAGAGGUUAGCUACAUUACCUGUGACAGACACAAGAGCCACAUCAUCUGCACCAGCUACAACUCCUACAGCUCCAGUGCAACCAGCUCCAGCACCAACUUCUCCAGCUCCAUCUACAUCGACUGAAGCCUUCAUUCUUGGAGUUAUCCGGACACCACCACCACUUGAAGACCAAGCCUGAGAGACGAUCUAGCACUAUGCAUUUUCUAUGAACUUUUUGGUAACUUGUUGCCAAAGGGGGAGAAAAAUGUAUAGAUCAUAGGCUUCGAGAGAGAGAUUUGCUGUUUUUUGUUCUCUCUUGUCUUCUUGGUUAAACUUGUUUGCUUUUGAUUGCUUGAGAUACUAUGCAAUUACCUGUGAGACAUUGAUGAUCAUGUGUUUGAUCAUAAGCUACACUUAUGCCUGUUUGAUGAUAUUAUCUUACCUAUCCUUAUAUGAUCAUUCACUUUGCUUGGUGAUGAGUGCAUGUAUUCAAUCUUUAUUAUUUUUAGCGCUCCACCAAGAUGUAUGUGACAUGGAAGAGUAACCCAUGAGCCUAUUUCCUUGUGCAUUUGCAGUCCAAAGCAAAUCUUAAAAUAUGCACAAAUUUAGGGGGAGCUCUUGCUUAUCACAUACUUCUCAAAGUGACAAUGUUUUUCAAUCUUAUUAUCAUUUGUCGAAGCUUUGAUCUAUAUGUUCUCAUCAAUUACCAAAAAGGGGGAGAUUGAAAGUGCAACUAUCCCUAGGUGAUUUUGGUAAUUCAUAACAACAUAUAGCUCAUUGAGCUAAUGCUAUUCCAAGACUAUUAUUUCAGGAAGCUCAAUGAAUGGCAUGGCAUGGAUGAUGAAAGUGGAUCCCUCAAAAUAUCAAGGACAAAGGAUUGGCUCGAGCUCAAAAGCUCAAGACUCUAUAUUUUAUAUUCCAGUGAUCCGAGAUCACAUUGAGUCUAUAGGAAAAGCCAAUACUAUCAAGGAGGGAUGAGGUGUUGCUUAAUGAGCCUCUUGCUUCAAGUGCUUAGUGAUAUGCUCCAAAUACCCUCAACUACUUUUUCACAUCCUCAUAUGACCUAAACCUAAAGCCAAAAUCGGUCACACUGAUUCUUUCUAUCUGGCGCCACGGAGUUCAAAUGUCAUAGCCACUGCCACAAACCCUAGGCAAAUCGGUCUUACCGAUAGGGAUUUAGGUCUCACCGAGAUGGGAUUGUAAUCUCUUUGUUUCCCUUCAUAACGUUUCGGUCUAACCGAAGUGAGCGAUCGGUCCCACCAAGAUUGCAAUGUAAACUGUCUGUUUCCCUUUUGUAACAUUUCGGUCUCACUGAAAAGAGCAAAUCGGUCCCACCGAGUUUACCUGACCAACUCUCUGGUUAGCUAAUUACCAAAAUCGGUCUCACCGAGUUUGUGUAAUAGGUCUCACCGAGAUUACAUUAUGCCCUAACCCUAACCAUAUCGGUCCCACCGAAAAUCCUAACGGUCACUAGGUUUACUAAAUCGGUUUGACCGAGUUUGUUGAUUCGGUCCCACCGAGAUUGGUAAAUUGUGUGUAACGGUUAGAUUUUGUGUGGAGGCUAUAUAUACCCCUCCACCUCCUCUUCAUUCGUGGAGAGAGCCAUCAGAACAAACCUACACUUCCAACUUACCAGUUCUGAGAGAGAACUACCUACUCAUGUGUUGAGGCCAAGAUAUUCCAUUCCUACCAUAUGAAUCUUGAUCUCUAGCCUUCCCCAAGUUGCUUUCCACUCAAAUCUUCUUUCCACCAGAUUCAAAUCCUAUGAGAGAGAGUUGAGUGUUGGGGAGACUAUCAUUUGAAGCACAAGAGCGAGGAGUUCAUCAUCAACGCACCAUUUGUUACUUCUUGGAGAGUGGUGUCUCCUAGAUUGGCUAGGUGUCACUUGGGAGCCUCCGACAAGAUUGUGGAGUUGAACCAAGGAGUUUGUAAGGGCAAGGAGAUUGCCUACUUCGUGAAGAUCUACCACUAGUGAGGCAAAUCCUUCGUGGGCAACGACCAUGGUGGGAUAGACAAGGUUGCUUCUUCGUGGACCCUUCUCGGGUGGAGCCCUCCGUGGACUCGCGCAGCCGUUACCCUUCGUGGGUUGAAGUCUCCAUCAACGUGGAUGUACGAUAGCACCACCUAUCGGAACCACGCCAAAAACAUCCGUGUCUCCAACUACGUUUGAAUCCUCCAAACCCUUCCCUUUACUUUCUUGCAAGUUGCAUGCUUUAAUUUUCGCUUCCUAUAUACUCUUUGCAUGCUUGCUUGAUUUGAGUGAUGAUUGCUUGACUUGUCCAAAGAUUGCUAAAAUCUGCCAAACUCUAAAAUUGGGAAAAUGUUAAGUUUUUAAUUGGUCAAGUAGUCUAAUCACCCCCUCUAGACAUACUUCAAGGUCCUACAUUAGUCUACUGUGAUUUAACUAGUGUGGAAUAUAAAAGGGGAAAACCAUAAGCAUUGGGAGUAUAGUGUUGAGCGUGCCAUGGCGGAUCUGAAGGUGCAAACCGGACAAAGGCAACUUCGCAACCAAGAUAAUAAAUCAGAGUAAAGCAGUGGCGAUCUAUUUUCGUGCUGCGAUAAAUAAGUUGAGCAGAUACGAAAGAGUACCGCCUCUGGUGCGGCGCCAUCUACGCAUCUGAUGAGAAUUUGACGGUGCUGCGGUAGCGAUGGCUGUCGGCGGCGUGGAAGCAGAUCUAGGAGGGUAGACGGUGGCGGUGGGGCGCGGUGGACUAGACGAUUGUAGGAGCGGCGCCGGCAAGGUGGACGAGGCGGGGAUGAAGCGAGAGGACGGGAUGCAAGGAUCCCGGUCCGAAGCCGUGGAUGAGAGAGGUCGAUCUCUUGUAAUGGACGGCAGCGUCGGCAUAUCAGCUCCGGCAUGGUGGAGGAGGACGGCGGUGGAUGGGGUGGCGGGCGGCGGCGAACGGAGGAGGGUGGGGUGGAGAGGGUGUUUUGGCGCCCACGGAGUACGAAUGGGGAAAGGGAGGUAGAGAGGAAGGGGGGAACCAUGUAUUCAGGGCGCGCUUGUCUCAAAUGCGAGGAAAUUUACAAACUUAGCCCCCGUUUCAAAUUUCUACUACAUCACAGCAACAUUAGUCUGUUGGGGAUAGGAUGGUAAUCUCGCAUGCACCGAAUAUUUGCCGACGAGAGAUUGUUUUUGGCGCCCACCGUGUAUGAAUAUGAAUCGGGGAGGGAGUCGAUUUCGGCCGAGGACACACUAUGUUUUGGCGCCCACCGUGUAUGAAUCCGGGUGAGAGGCGGUUACGUCACGUUUGGGUGAAAUUACAAACCUACCCCUAUCGAAACCUAUAGAAAUCCAGCAGAUAGGCUUUGCGUGGUAGGGAUAGGCAGUAGUAAUUUCCAUCUCGCAGAUUUUGGUUUCGGGCGGUUACUGCGACUUUCCCCGCUUCGUUCAAAUUUUGCACAGUGCAUGUUUACUGUGCCAACUCAAUUCGAAUCCCGUUUGUAUUCUAUUUUUUUUCGGGUGGGAUCCAUUUUCAAUUGGAAUUACAUUCUAUAUACAUCAUUUUUUAUAUAUACUUUCAAAAGCACAACAAAGAAUUCUGCUCCUUUAUAUGUAUAAUAUGAUUUACACAUACAACGAUCUCAAAAUCUUAAGGUUGAAUUCGAAAAAAAUUAACCAAAUUAUGUUCUAUUAAAAUGUAUGGAUCAGUAAUAUCUACAUAUUAAAUAACAUAGGUGUGCGUGAAUUCAUAUGAGUAUGAAUGUUUGAUAGAUCAAUUUUGGUUCGAGUAUGGAUUACAUGUAUCAUCAUCUCGAAUUCAAAUAUUUGAAUCCCUUUUAAUUUUCACUCCUUUCACGCCCAUCUCUCUCGCAUGUAUGCUCCUUCAGGUAGCUAUCACUCUCUUUUCUCCAGCUCACCCGCACGCUCACUUCAUGUUUCUCCUAUCCUCGCAAACAUGGUCUCUCGACAUCUCCCUUGAGAAGUGUCACACUCCCCCUAUCAUUAUACUACACGGUUUUCAUUAUCUCUCACGUCUCUACUGUUCUCUGGUAUCACUCGGUACCUAAGCUUUCUUUUUCACCGCCACACACACAGUCUCCACUCGUCUUUCACUUUGUCUUUCUCUCUAUGGGAUUCUCUCACACACCCUAUAUGUCUCUACAUAUGACCCAUACCACUAAAAUUACUCUCUCUCUCUCUCUUUCUCCUGUAGACACAACAUUUGUUGCAGUCUCCUUUUCGUCUCCAUCCCAGACUGACAUUAUUCCUUUGUUUACCGGUCAGACAACCCCACCUCUCUCUCUCUCACAGAUACACACACACAACUCCUCCUUCCACUCCCCUUCCCGACUAACCUCUCUCUCUCGCACACACAAAACUCUCGCUUUUGCACCCCGACUCGUAUUUCUCUCACAAACAUUUAUCGACUAGCUAGCCUCUAGAUAGUUUUAUACACCAGCACACUCGUGCUUCCACUAUCGCAUAUAUGUCUCUCUCCCGCUCCUUGUAUCUAUGUAGAUUUUUCUUCCCUUCUUGAGACACGCCCCCUCGAUCGUGCACACACACACUAUCGCCUCAUUUUAAGUUGAUACCUAUCGCACACACAAUCCUUGUGUUUUUGUCACACAUGCACUCCGUCCUCCUCCAGUCUCCCUCUCUCUCACACACACAUGGGCUUUUUGCAACAACUAGCAAGAUGCCCAUGCGUUGCACGGAACAUCAAGAUGCAUUUGUAUGAGUAGUUUAUCUUGUGGGGGAAAAGGAUGAACGAGGGAAGGCCUUAUUUGCAAAUGUGGAGAGGGGUGUGUGUAUCUUUUUGCAAAAUUGCCAUAGUUUCCUUCCUAUCCGUCAGAUAUAGAUCAGACGACCUAUAUUGCAGGAUGGCAGGCACACGAUCAUCACCGACAAUGCUUUUUAUAAGAGUAGGGAUAAAAAAUAGAGUUGGUGAUGAUGGUGGGCCUGCCAUCCUACAAUGUAGGUCAUACGAUUUAUAUCUGACGGACAGGAAGGAAACUAUGGCAAUUUACCUGCACUCUUCACCACAUUUGCAGAUAAGGCCUUCCCUUGUUCAUCCUUUUCUCCCACAAGAUCUUGAUGUUCCGUGCAACGCACGGGCAUCUUGCUUGUAAGAGUAGAUAUUAGACAUAUACCACUUCUCGAAUCUUGAAACCAACAAAAUUCCUCCCUUAUCUCAUCAAAACCGCCAAAGGAAUAUAUUUUGAGUGAAACAUAACAUAUUUUUAGUGAUAUACGUAUUUUAAAACUAGACUUUUUUUCUAUCAAAUCGGUGAAUAUGUAUUAAUCUACUUUGAUCGUGUGGCAACGCAUUGGCACAUUGCUAGUAGUUAUUAUAAUUUUUUGGACACCAGACAAACGGUGGAGUACAUAUACGAAGAGAAGAGGUGCAUGCACGCAGUCGGCCUCUCGCUGUCUCGCACACAUGAGUGUUACGUAAAGGCGACGUUAAAAAAUAAACCCUAAAACCCUAGGUGCGCGAUUGCUGCAUUCGCGGGUACUGGGUACAUGGUGGGGCACCUUUGUAGGAAUAGUCAGCUCGCGUGAUAAUUUGAUCCAUAGGAGUUGAUGGUCGGGACCACAGGUGAACGACUUGGAGCGCGGUGGCUCGCCAGUUGCCAUAGAUCGAGUAGCCACGUGUCACAUCCCUAGCUGCUGGUAGUGCUCUAGGCUAGCUCAUGUGUGCAUCAUGUUUAAAUUCUGAAAAUUUGAACUGAGGGAAUUUUGGAAGCCUCAAAAACUUAAAUAAAAGAGGGGCAAAAACCCUAGAAAUCUCAUUCAUUGCUCCAAAAUGCUCUUCUUAAAUGUUUGAUAAUUUUUGGUAAGGGUUCUGGUCCCAACCAAAAUAUUGAACAUUUUUAAGGAUUUAUUUUUGGGACUUUGGAUUUAAUUCAUUAGCUAUUUGAAUUUGAAUUAUAUUCAUAUAAUUGGAAUAUAAUUUCAAAUACCCCUGAAAUAUUUUAUAAGCUUUUGGAAAAGUCCAUCUAGCAAUAUAAAAUAUUCAGAGGAGUUUUUGGCAUUGUUUGAAUUAUUUUAAAUUCAAAAACAGUGGCAAAAUAAAUUAAAUAAAUAAACAGAACAGAAAAAAAA